AAAGAAAGAGUAAACCACCUAGGCAAAGUACCGCUCCUCGCUAGCUAGCUAAGCGAUCCCCUUGCCGCGAUCCCGUGCCUCCGCCGGUGCCGAAGGCUCUGAAAAGUAAACCAUAAAACAGGGGCGUGAGAACUAUUAAAAAUAGUUCCCAGUGGGCAAUUACUGACUUCAGUGAAUGCACCACGAGGCCCAAAGCUACAAAAGAUGUCAGUGACUAUAAAAGUAGAAAAGCGAAAGGUAAGUAAAAAUGUAACUUACUACAACAUGAUAUCUCUACUUAGCAUAAUUAGCAUAAGUAUGAAGCAACUAUGCAUGAAGUAAAAGUCUCCAACUAUCAUAAUGUUCACAAUGCGAAAUAGUAAAGUUCCGUUGUUUACUAUUCUAGUCAAUGUCCAAGUAGUACACUAAGUCAUCAUCUGUCCACAUGUCAUAAUGAAUACUCAAAGUCAAAUCUGAAGAGACCCACCCGAAGGCUGUCUAUGGCCCUGAGACCCACCCGUAGGCUGUCUGGCCGGUGCCGAGCCUAAUGGCCCCGUGGUAGUCAUCAUCCCCACCCUAGGAAUGAGCCUGUCCCACGGCAAUCCACUUCGGCGCCCAAUCCCGCACGGCGAAUAUGAAUCGCGAUGGCUAUCUCCGGAGUGCCGGCUUGUAGGGAGCGACCCUCACAAGCAUGUGCGAAUGAGCACAAUGGCAAGUAGUCAAACGAUCUGUCGCAAGUACCAAGUCCUCAUGUCUAAUAACAUGGAAUGUGUCAAGUAUCUCAAUGGCCUAUCCCUAUGUCAUCAUGUCUCUAACAUGGAAUAUAGCAGAUAUGUAGUGGCCUAUCAAUAUGUCUCUAUGUUGCAGUUUCAUAGUUUACUAGUUUCAAGUGCCCCUUGAUGACACUCUUGUUCUCUAUGUCAAAGCAUGGCAACUAUGUUCCAAAGUAUAUAUUCCAAGUCAUAAUUCUCAUAAGAGAUGUAUUUUCCACUUGCAAAAUAAACACUUUUCCCGUAUGCAUGCAUUCUACUCAUAUAGCUCUACUAUAUAGUGAAGUUUUCAUAAUACACAAGGCAUGCAUUUUAAGUGCUCUAAAAUUCAUAUAAAUUCCAUUUAGCAUAGAAAUGAACUUAAAAAUAUUUUACAACAAGUAGAAAGAGCAUAGGGGCCAUUUCGCCCCAUUUCCACGAAGCCAAACCCACCAAAACUCUUGCAACUCUUCGCAAGCUCCGACGAAGAUGCCCACUAGCCUCCUAGCACCCUAAAGAUGUAGGAACAAGGGUUAAACGAACCUUACGAUUAACCCUAAACUCAAUCAAUAAGCAACAUAGGCUAAGAUGGAGAAAAACUCACCUAGGUGAAGAAAUUCUCUCUCUAGCUCCAAAUGGGAGUUAGAGUUCUUCAAAUCCAACCUAAAUAAAGGUUCCAAACCCAUCAAUUAGGUCUCAAAACCCUCAAAUCCAAAAACCCCCAAAAUAAACCCUAAAUCCCAAAAUCUAGGGUUUCAUCUAGUAAAACCUAGGAAAACAUGUAUCAAAUGGGGAUUACAAGCUACCAACCUCAAGAGAAGCUCCAAUCCAAGCUCAAAACCAAGUAGGGUUGAAGUUUGAUCCUCCACAAAGCUCCAACCGCAAGCUCGAAGCCACCAAGGUGAGAAAAUGGGGAAGAAGAUGAUGCUCCAAAGCCUCCAAGCAAGCUCCUUCUCCUCUUCUUCUUCUUCUUCUUCUUCUCCCUCUCUUCUUCUCUCUCUAGAAUGCAAAGGGUUGAGAGAAAUGAGGGAAAGAGAGAGAAGAAAGGCUCUCUAUAGGCUCUAAAGUAACAAAAUCCUGAUAAGCCCCUCAAAAAUCCAAAAUUACAUCAGCCCGGUCUGGGCAGUUUUCGCCCAGAGGGACCGAUCUCCCCGACCUGGGACCGGUCUCUCAGCCUGCCCCCGAAAAUCCAACAUUCGGGACCCGGUCUCUCCCUGCGCGGGACCGGUCUCUCCCCGCGCAGACGCGCUCGGGGACCGGUCUCGACUGCCAGGGACCGGUUGUCUCGCCGGCUGCGCAGCACUGUUCACUGGGGGAUCGGUCUCUCCUAUCAGGGACCGGUCCCCGAGAGUAAAAACUCUCAGGACUCAGCCAAAACUCUCGAGAUCGAACUUUUAGGCCGGUAUACCAUCGACGGCCCUCCACCAAGUGUGGAAAAGUUCGGAAUACACAUCGAACACUUGAACCUCGCAAUUUGCAAAGGUCCAGUGUGCUACAAUAAACAACUGAACAAUCCCCUUCACGACAUUCUCUGUCAAGGAAGACUACAAUUUCCUCAGAUCGCUACUCAAUCUAUAAAAUACACCUAAUGCUAAAGGCUGAUUAAAAGCUCAACAGAUCUCGACAUAGUCCAACUACUUAAUCGUGUUUCCAAUUGAAGUCACGAUAUUCGACACACAGUCGAAUAACUUAUCUAAUCUCCCAACAAUUGGAAUUACUUCACCAAAAUGAAGCACUAGGCAUAAAACAUUCUCUAUUAGUCGAGCUCACAAUUUGUGACUUGAUCGGAAAUACCACAACCACUUCUCAGGAAUUACCCUUCAUUUUGAGGGUUCUCACAUCUAAAUCAUCAGUCCAUCAGUCAAAUAGGCUCUCACCUCUCCAUAAUUACCUAAUUUAGGUAAAAUGACAAUUCUCGCAAUCAGCGAGAUUAAACCUUCAAGAUGCAUUAUAUAAUGCUCAACUUCCAAGGCGAAUCAGUUUGGUUCGCACAAACCAUGGUACAAAGUACCUCACAACCGAAUUUUAACCAAAACCACUCUAUCAUAGGUAGGGCCAAUUCAUUUGUUGGCACAUAUAUAACAUCCUCUCAUUCGGCAGGCAUCACACAAACCAUUGCACAAUGUACUACCUGUAGUAAGCAUCCCCGCCGCCGUAUCUGGCUCUACAAUUCCGUCGGCGUACCUCCACUGGGUACUUCUUGCAACAAAGUCAGUGCAGACACUUCAGUUAACAUGUUAUGCCUUGGGCACUUAGAUCGAAAAUGGCCCUCAUGACCGCAUUCAAAACACUUUCCCUUCCGUUGAGGACACUUUGGGGGAAUGUGCGGACCUCCACAAAUUACACAUGGCCGUGGUGCUCGACCACUCGAUCUUCUUUGCUUAGAAAAAGAAUCACGUUUCCAAGGUUGAUUCUUCUUUAUUUUUCUUGAUGAUUCUCCGACAUGUAACUGAUCACUCUUGGUAACCUCUUUUGCUCUUUCAGUGCAUUCCACACCUUUUCUUACAGUCAAUGUACGAUCCGGAACCUCACGAAAUUUCUUGAGAUCAGCCGUCUGUUGAAUCAACAGGUUCUCCAACCGUCUGAUUCCUUCAUCCUGUCGGCGCAAAGCCUCGGCUUGAAGUAGCGUCACAUUCGAUUGUCGCUCCACCACUCCAACUAUAGUAGCCAACUGCUCUUUUAAUUCCCGAACCUCACCCGAUUCAGAAGGUGCAAGCUUUUCUGGCUCGGUCGUCUCUGUCGCCGCAGGGUGCAUCUUUAACAUCACAAGCUGCAUCAAACAAAAUAGGCACAGGUUAAACAACCUAUGCUAUCGUAACCCCACUCAUAAAUAUAAAAUCCCAAUCAUGCGAAAGAAUGAAAUGACCGCCCACUAUUCCCCAAUAUCACGUUGUCGGCCGCCAACGUGAUCUUGUAAGGACAUAGAGUGUCACGCCCCGAGCCCGCCUCUUUGGUCGGAUUCGGGCACGCCAACAGACCGCCGAACGGACAGGGUUUCCCCUGUACCGCGGACAGAGUCUCCCCUGUACGUUCAAGGCGUCGCAAUCAAUACAAUGUACGAAGUUCCAACCAGGAACACAUUUCAACCAAAGAUUGCAUAAUGAAGUAUCAAAAACAUAAAUCUACUUGCUAUUACAAGCAUUCAUCUCACAUAUUACAUUUUUACAUUCUUAGAUUUCAUCACAUUUGAUUCCUUGAUUCUUACUUCCAAAUACAAUCAAAUUAUUACAAAUUUGUUACAAGUUUGAUACAUCUUGUUCUUUCAUUUUCCAUAUCCCUAAGUAGCCGACUCAGGGUGUUACUAUNNNNNNNNNNNNNNNNNNNNNNNNNNNNNNNNNNNNNNNNNNNNNNNNNNNNNNNNNNNNNNNNNNNNNNNNNNNNNNNNNNNNNNNNNNNNNNNNNNNNNNNNNNNNNNNNNNNNNNNNNNNNNNNNNNNNNNNNNNNNNNNNNNNNNNNNNNNNNNNNNNNNNNNNNNNNNNNNNNNNNNNNNNNNNNNNNNNNNNNNNNNNNNNNNNNNNNNNNNNNNNNNNNNNNNNNNNNNNNNNNNNNNNNNNNNNNNNNNNNNNNNNNNNNNNNNNNNNNNNNNNNNNNNNNNNNNNNNNNNNNNNNNNNNNNNNNNNNNNNNNNNNNNNNNNNNNNNNNNNNNNNNNNNNNNNNNNNNNNNNNNNNNNNNNNNNNNNNNNNNNNNNNNNNNNNNNNNNNNNNNNNNNNNNNNNNNNNNNNNNNNNNNNNNNNNNNNNNNNNNNNNNNNNNNNNNNNNNNNNNNNNNNNNNNNNNNNNNNNNNNNNNNNNNNNNNNNNNNNNNNNNNNNNNNNNNNNNNNNNNNNNNNNNNNNNNNNNNNNNNNNNNNNNNNNNNNNNNNNNNNNNNNNNNNNNNNNNNNNNNNNNNNNNNNNNNNNNNNNNNNNNNNNNNNNNNNNNNNNNNNNNNNNNNNNNNNNNNNNNNNNNNNNNNNNNNNNNNNNNNNNNNNNNNNNNNNNNNNNNNNNNNNNNNNNNNNNNNNNNNNNNNNNNNNNNNNNNNNNNNNNNNNNNNNNNNNNNNNNNNNNNNNNNNNNNNNNNNNNNNNNNNNNNNNNNNNNNNNNNNNNNNNNNNNNNNNNNNNNNNNNNNNNNNNNNNNNNNNNNNNNNNNNNNNNNNNNNNNNNNNNNNNNNNNNNNNNNNNNNNNNNNNNNNNNNNNNNNNNNNNNNNNNNNNNNNNNNNNNNNNNNNNNNNNNNNNNNNNNNNNNNNNNNNNNNNNNNNNNNNNNNNNNNNNNNNNNNNNNNNNNNNNNNNNNNNNNNNNNNNNNNNNNNNNNNNNNNNNNNNNNNNNNNNNNNNNNNNNNNNNNNNNNNNNNNNNNNNNNNNNNNNNNNNNNNNNNNNNNNNNNNNNNNNNNNNNNNNNNNNNNNNNNNNNNNNNNNNNNNNNNNNNNNNNNNNNNNNNNNNNNNNNNNNNNNNNNNNNNNNNNNNNNNNNNNNNNNNNNNNNNNNNNNNNNNNNNNNNNNNNNNNNNNNNNNNNNNNNNNNNNNNNNNNNNNNNNNNNNNNNNNNNNNNNNNNNNNNNNNNNNNNNNNNNNNNNNNNNNNNNNNNNNNNNNNNNNNNNNNNNNNNNNNNNNNNNNNNNNNNNNNNNNNNNNNNNNNNNNNNNNNNNNNNNNNNNNNNNNNNNNNNNNNNNNNNNNNNNNNNNNNNNNNNNNNNNNNNNNNNNNNNNNNNNNNNNNNNNNNNNNNNNNNNNNNNNNNNNNNNNNNNNNNNNNNNNNNNNNNNNNNNNNNNNNNNNNNNNNNNNNNNNNNNNNNNNNNNNNNNNNNNNNNNNNNNNNNNNNNNNNNNNNNNNNNNNNNNNNNNNNNNCCCCCCUCCUCCCGCCCCACUCUUCUUCUCCUUCUUCUUUCUAGAGAGAGAGAGGGAGAGCGUUUUGCGUGUGCGGAGACGCUGCCAGAGCAAAUGCAGGAGCAAGAGGAGAAAGGAUCCUCUGCAUCUACACUCUCAUAAAGCUGCCAUUUUGCCCCCACCUUAAGCCCCUCCACAUGCCCUUCCCUCGCAACAGCCCAAACUGGGCAUUUCGGGGUUCUGGGACCGCCCGUGACCGGUCCUUGCGGUGAGAGACCGGUCCCCGAAAGGCCAGAAUUCCAGACUUAGCCAAUUUUUCAGCAUUUUCAGCCUUUAUCCUUUUUCACUCCGUUUUCGCUCGUUUUCGCUCGUUUGACCUCCGUUUCUUUUCAAAUCGAACCGAGAUUCUCCAAACAUGUUUUCAAACAUGUUUUCAUCAUCUUUUCAUCCACGCUAAUGCCGGAUUUAGUCCAUGGUCUAACAUAGCCUUUCGGGUCCCGUUUUCGCGCCCUAUGCGCACCGAAGCACCCGAAUGCUCCCGAACUUCGCCGGAAUGAUUCCAACGGCUUUCUAAGCUAACAUACAUCGUAACUUCAUGAAUUAGAAGUUCGGUAUAUUACAUAGAGGUUAUUCAUUUCAAUUAAACUCCAACAUUUUUGGAGUUAUAAGUAUGACCCAAUCGUAGUACUUUCGCUCAAAAUAGUCGCAAAAGACCCCGUCUCUCACGCUCCUAAUCCUGAUCGUCCAAUCGGCCUAAGGUUUGCUAUGUCCACAAAGACUCAACCCUAGGCUCUGAUACCACUAUAAUCUGUCACGCCCUGGAUUUCAGCGGAAGAUCACCAGUCGCGUGCACAGACCUGCCGUAUACACCACAAUUCAAGUAUACACCAGGCGUCUAUAAUCAAUAUAGUAAAAGUAUUCGAUUCUAACAAGGUAAUCAGAGCAAAGCUUAAAAGUUUAACUUAUACAACCCAAACCUUAUUACAAUAGAUAAGAACAAAGUACAAUGUACAUGAACUUAAUAUACAUCAAAAAACUAAACUACAUAGACUGAUAAAGGUUGUCUAGUAAACGUCCAGAAGGCUUUAGCUAGCCACUGACCCCUCGCAGGAACCCUAGCCUUUCCCACUGUGGAAGGCUCUGUAAAAACAACAACAAAGAAAGCGUGAGAACUAUUAAACAAUAGUUCCCAGUGGGUAAGCCGCCGAGAGUGGCGAAGUACACCACUAGGUCAACUGUGGUAUGAGUAAAUAGCAAUAAAUAAGUAAAUAAUUGCAACAGGUAUGAAAAUAAACCAAUCAUGCUAUUUGCUCAUAAAUAAAUAUAUAUCAACAGGUUGCAGGUACUAGUUUAUUAUGAUAGAUUCUGUCAUUCUUAUUAAUGGUAAAGAUGUCAUUGUUCACCAUUCUAGUCAAUGCCCACUUGUCGUUUAACUACUCAAAGUUUAAAUCUUGUAAGACUCACCCGAAGGCUGUCUGGUAUGAAGACCCACCCGAAGGCUGUCUAAUAUGAAGACCCGCCCGAAGGCUGUCUAAUAUGAAGACCCACCCGAAGGCUGUCUAAUAUGAAGACCCACCCGAAGGCUGUCGAAUAUGCAAGCUGUAAUCCAUGGUACAAUAUCACAACGAUAUCAUGGGAUCUCAACUCGACCCAAGGUCGACACUGUAGUACCAAAUCAUAAAUUGCUAUCUACUACUUGUUGACAUAAUUCACUAUCAAUAGCUAGUAUAACUUAAUAAGUUUAAGCUUUACAUCGUACUAGUGAUUCUAUCAGGCUACACCUGGUCACUCACUCAUAGUCCUUUCACUACUCCUUACACAUAAGGGAAGUUGUUUACUAAAGUCAUACUCAAAGACUCAUGACACAUAUUCUGUAGUUCAAUGUAAACCUCCACUACUUGGAGAGAACAAAUGCUAUGCAAUUACAUCUACUUGAUUAUACAAGUAUGAUAUCAUAUUCAAAUCUAGUUAUUGAAUCAACUAGAUUACAUUCAGUGUAUAACAUUCAUGUUAUGUCAUAAUACUAAAUUCUAGUUACCUGACUAGUUCAUAUAAUAUCAAGUGAAACUCUAGCCAAUCUAUCAGAUGAAGGUAGAAACCAGCUACUUAAUAUAAGUAGGCAAAAUAAACGAUGAAAUACUUUUCACAUAAUCUCUAUACAGUUCAUUCUAUACUAUGAAUGUAUACUCAAGCCAAUUCAUCUGCACAAUAGGUUCAAGUAUAGCCAUCAUGCUUACAAUAUAACAUUACCUAGCGUAAUCCCAAGUACAUCACUUCCUUUGCUAUUCAACUGAGCUAAAUGGUAUAUUCACGCUGUAACAGUUAUAUCCUUUUAAAUGACCCCAAGCUUAACUUGCUUAUACAACUCAUUAAUAUCAUGAAUGCAUAAUAAUCAAAUAAGUGAUUAUUGAAAUAAGCAAGUCGUAAGUCUUUCCUUAUUGUUUAGAUAUGCUAUCAUAUCCGAUAUGAUCCACACAUUUAUGCAUGUUUCAAUUCCUAGCACUAUACAUAUAUUCAUAAAUAUGUAAUAACUUCCACUCAUAAUGUCAAAGGAGACAUAGAGGGAAUUCACCCAUUUCGGAAAGAUCAGACCCACCUAUACUUCGAUGGUCCCUGUUGAACUCCCUUUUGAAGGAAAUUCGAAGCUUUUAAGUCCCCUAAUAUCAAUUCCAAAAUUAGCUAUGAGCGAAAGUUCUAUAUCGAUAAUAGAACUUUACAUAAGAUGGACCAAUUCUUACCUUAUCUUAACUUAAAGUUAAGCUUUCCUUUAUUCCAGGUUGAAGCACCUCCAACUCAGUUUAAAUCAGCCCAAACAAUGUGUCAAGUUUAGUCCACAACAAUCCUCGCACUUGCUGCGCACUAGUUAUAAAAACUGCAUUGAACUAUUAUCUAAGCAUCUUAUUUCAGCGAAAAUCUCACUUAAGUUUGUACCAGAGUUGAUCCUUCACUUUCACUUUGGUUGGAAUACUUUAAUUAACCCAUAACUAUUACUAAAAUCGGCUCCAAAUGAUCCCCCAACCUGCUGCACUACAGCUGUGAAUUAUCUCGUCAAACUACAUUGAAACUGGUAUCAAACAUCAAAAUUCAACUACAUUCUUACCUUGUACAAGGCUAUAGCUUGAACCUCGGUUUAGGUUCAAGUUGAUGCACUUAAUUCAGCCUCCGAAAGCUCCCAAUACUCAGCCGAGUCUUACUUAAUAUCCUGUUGCAAGCCUGUUGCCAAUUAGUUCAAAAACAGCUUUUAUAUUCUUUUAAACUAUUUAAUCUAGCUGAAAAUCUCCCUUGUUCAGCUUCUUAACUUGAAGUCUCAUUUCCUGAUGCUUAAGAAUUCCCAGAAUUAGCUCACUAGGGUUGAAUAAUCAACUCUAGGAGAUCUUGGUAGCUGCUGCCAACAAGAACCAAAAUCAGCAUAAUUCCUCACUAUAUUGCCUCAACAAAAGAGUAAUUAGUUAACUAAUUACCUUUCUCAACCCUUACUUCCCUUCUUCCCUGCUCUAUUAUAGAGGAAUUACAGUAAAAAAGCUCUCCUCUAGCUGCUGGAACCUCUCCCAACCUCGGCUGGCAGCAAGGACUAAAUCUUACUUAGCUCUAUUAUUAUGCCUCAAACUAGAUAGUAAAUAAGUAAUUUACCUCUCCAAAGCCUCAUUCUGCAAGAACAAUGUUGAAGGUUGCGAAAUACUCUUUAAAACUCCUCAUUCUUUCUUCCACAGCAGCUCCAAACCACUCCCUGCCAGUAACCAACAAGCAAAGAAGAGAAUCAAGCUUAAACCCCUGAUUCCUAGUAGAGAGAGAAAUUCCUAGAGAGAGAGGGAGUGAGAGAGAAGCCAAACCCUACUCCUGAACUCCCAGCACCCUUGGGUAGCUUCAGGAGUCGAGCUGAGACUUAAGAGGAUAAGCACAAGAGCCCAAAAGACCAAAUGACCCCUGCUACCACGCACCUGCUGACUCUGCUGCUUGUUGUACCGGUACAGCAUUAUAUUUGUACUGGUACACCAAUGCAAAAAAUGCCAAACUCGAAAUGGCAAUGCACUUUCUUGUCUCCGACAAUCCGAUCACUUCCAAACUUAUCCGUAAACAUCUUUAAACUCUUUAAUACAUGUAGGGAGGUUCCAAAUAUCAUUCCCCUUGCUUGAACUUCGCAAUUUGCUAAAGUUCAGUAUACUACAGGAAGCUCCAAAAGGUUGACUGUCCAUACAGUAAGGAUGGUCAAUCAUGUAGAAGAAGAUAAUAAUGAUGGCAAUCCGACGCUGAGGGAGAUAGCUACGAGAGCUGCCCUCCUGCGCAAAGGGAAGAAGGCCCCUAAAACAAGAAGAGGUGGUUCCUCUCAAGGGAUAUGAGAACAUCCCAACACGGAAUUACCUCAACACCCCAAUACUGAUUUACCUCUUGACCCGUUUAAUGUAAAAGAGAAUGAAGAGGAGCCCGCUUUUCUCCCCCGGGAUCCUAAAAAUCUCCUAAUUGAUUCAAUGACAAAGAAGCUGGAGGAAACGGACAAGGACAUAUCAAAUCUGCAUAGAAAGUUAGACGAAGUUUUGGAAAUGUUCAGCUACAUGCAAACGCACAUGGGAGUGCAAUUACGCAAUCCUGAAGUUCAAGCUACACCACCGACUUUAAACUUGUCCAUACCGUCAACCGAAGAAAACCAGACAAAUCAGUUGGCUACGACACCUCGCAUCUAGAAAGAUACUCAUAAUAUAACCAGAGAUGAAAUAUCAGAACUCAUUGCUCUUCAACUGAAAGAGUCAAUGGCAGGGUCAAUACCCAAACAGAAAGGAAGGGGGCACCCAUACCCUGUAGAAUAUGAUGAUAUACUCUUCCCUUUAGGGUAUGUCAUUCCUAAAUUCAAACAAUUUAAUAGGGUAGGCAACCCGGACCAACAUUUGGCACAUUUCAAAGCCACGUAUGGUAACACAGGGGGCAACAAUGCAUUAUUGUUGCGUCAGUUCCCUCAGAGCUUGACGGGGAUAGCUUUUGACUGGUAUUACUCUCUCGAGGAUGACUCAAUUAAAACUUGGAGUGAAAUGGAGAAUGCUUUUCGAGCAAAAUUCGCUACAGUUAGCGAUAAAAUCUCAAUAGCAGAUCUGGCAGCGACUAAAAGAAAGAAGCAUGAGUCAAUGCUAGACUACAUAACUCGAUGACGAAAUUUGAGUAUAAAGUGUGAUACAACCCUAGAGCAAUCUCAAGCGGUAGAGUUGCUUAAAGGGAAUAUAGACAACUGGAUGGCCCUGUUCCUUUGUACCACCAGUUGUACUAUGUUUCAGGAUCUCAUACUGAAUCUUUCAAAGUUGGAGAAAACUGAUCCACAAAUUUCGGCGAGUUUCUAUCCUUCUAAACCUCGGAGGGAAGAUGGAAAGAAAGCUGAAACCAAAACCAUCCGUUCAAGAACAGCCUAUGCCAACAAUGUAGAAAAAGGAAAAAGGCCCAUUGCUUCAGUUGGGCCAGCAUCCAAGCCAACGUUAGGCAGCGAUAACUAUAAAAUGACCAUAGAGGAGAGAAAGAAUAAAGUCUACUCCUUUAAAAGAGACAAAGUAAGAAAAAUAUUCAAUGAUGUUAUUAAAAGUGGUCUACAGCUAAAGAAGCCAGAAGAUGUUGGCCGAGUCUAGUCUACCGGAGCCAAAGAGGCCAGAAGAUGUUGGCAAAAUCGAUGACACAAAUUAUUGUCUCUAUCACAGAAUAGUCAGUCACCCUAUUGAAGAUUGCUGGGUGUUUAAAGACUGGGUUGAGAAGCAAUAUAAAACUGGUGCUAUUACACUCUCACGUUCUGUCCCCAUGGAUCCACAAGUGGAAGAAACCAAUGCAAUUAGUGUUGGGACCGAAGAAAUAGUAGGGUUCGAUAACUCAUUUCCUUCUGAGUUUUGGAACACCUUUUUGACUAAGAAGACUCGAAAAAUGCUCAAACAAUUGAAAGAAACCCCAGGAAUUAUAUGGCGAGGCUCGUCGAAUCCAAAAGUGCAAACCAAUGCCACUAGAGAAUCAGCCUUCAUCAUCUUCCAAACCAUAUAAUCAUCCUACCCUAUCUAAUCGGAAAGUAAUCAAGAAAAAGAAGAUUAAAAGGCCUGUAAAUCCGGAGCCGUACGAGUCUAAGAAGACGGAGCUUGAAGAGUAUAUUGACUCCCUAGAAGACUAAAUACAGAAAGAAAGAGAGAUAGUUUUAAUCAAGGACUUCGUAGUCGGAGCAAUGGACAGCACGACCAUCCCGAUACGAAAGAUUGAUGAGGGUGUCAGAUUUAGAAAAUAUGUUGAGCCUCCCCUUCCACCCAAUAAAAAGGUCUAUAUAAAUUUAGAAGACGAAUUUGAAGAGAUAGAGAAGGAGAUCUAUGAGGAGGCGGAGGAUUUCUGGCUAGAAGUAUUGACAGAAGUAUGCAGAACCACCUCAGCUUAUAAUGUGGACAGUGAAGAUGAAUUUACUUCCGCAUUAGAAGACAACGCCGAUGAUGGUGUUGAAGAAGGUGAUAGCGAGAAAGAAUUUCGGCAAAAAUUAGAAAGAAAGAAAAAAGAGGAGCAAGGUUCAACUGCAUAUGUACAAAGGGCCACGAACUAUAGACUAGACUCGGCCAACGAAGAGCUCUUUAAUAUAAGAGUCGAACAAAAAGAGAUAGCGAAGAUGGUGAUCGGGCUUGAAGCAAGGAUUGAACAGGUAUUGCGAUUGAUGGCCCCAGCCCCUCGACGAGUUCGACUACCACGAAGAAACAGCCGUCUACAAAAGAUGAUGGAGCGCAUUGAAAGAAUGAUGACCCCCGAUACCAGUCAGGAGCAAGCAAUAGAGAAUGUAUCUUCUCGAAACUUGAGAAUUGUAGGAGAUCAAGAUCUAUCAACUCGAAGGGAGAAACAACAAUUUUCUCGAAUGGGUAAAAACAAUCAAAUUUUAAACCCCAGCUGGCACCAGUCGACUGAUGAUCAAAAGAAAGACUCGAUUAUGGAGAAAAAGAAAAAGUCUCUAAGUAUCAAGAUCGAUGACGAGAAAGUGGCAGAAAGGUCACGGCACCAAGAUGUGCACGUUUACGAAGGAAAAGGAAAAGCUCCGCUCAUUGAAGACCGAGGUAUGAAGAAGGUUUGGAAAAGGGAGCAAAGAGAAGCGCAACUCCGAUUUUCUCUGGGCCAUCAGGAGUGGGGGCAUAACCUAGAUACGAAGAAAGAUCAAAUACAACCCUCGACCAGUAAAGGCUUCAAAAAGGAUCAAGUCACAAGGAGCACAAGACCCCCGAGAACAUAUCUACCAUAUGAUGAGAAUGAACCUAUUAUCUAUAACUUCUGCAGAGCUAAUGGCCACUCCUACAUAAAUUGCCAACAUCUAAAAGAGCUAGAGGAGAAAAUUCUCAGCAGGGAGUCUUGUAGAGUGAUCACUAUCUCUGAAGAUCACUCUGAGGAAUCGGUUAACAAACGGAGACGAAAAAGUAAACAACCAGCAGUGGUGAACGAAGAAGGUGACAGUGCAUGGUUAGCAUACGAACCUCCCUCCCAAAAUCAAGAAUUAAAAAGAAUGGAAACUCGUAUCUUGGAAGUAGGAAAUGACGUAAAGAGGUUGCGGCUAGACUUCCAUUCUUUAAAGUUAAAUCUAGAUUGUGUGGCUGCUGCAGUGAAAAAUUUGAGCUCUCAAACAAUGAUGAUAAUAGAUAUGCUUCGCUCUCAAGAAGGUGAGAGCUCAAAGAAAAGUCGAAACGAGAUUUGUAGGGCAGUCGACAUCAGUACUGAUUCGGAAAAUGAUGAAGGAGAUGCCCUGCAAAUAAAAUUAAGAUCUAGCAGGGUACUACCAGAAAGGCAAGAGCCAGCCCAAAAGGAAAGAGAUAGAGAAGUUGUCACGCCCCGCCCUGAAACCACUACCAAUUUGGCACGGUUCGGCCGUGGCGGUGGGCCGCCGAACGGACAGCACCUCCCCUGUCCGCCCAAGGUUCAUCAACAGGAAUGUGUACAAGAAUUUACCCAGGAAAUUAAAUUCUAAGCAUACACAUUCACAAGGGCACAGACAGUGCCAACAAUACAAAGAGCAAGCGAUCCACAAGAUAAAACAAGUGAAAUAAAGAGAGUACUUUACUAACUAUUACAUUAGUUCAUUCUUUAAAUGAAUACAUUUUUCAUCCAAAAUACAUAGCUCUCCAAAGUUGCCUCAGGUUUGGCCGCGACACUAUUCCGGGGGGACCGAUCUCUCCCACCAGGGACCGGUCCCCGAGAGUAAAUACUCUUAGGACUUAGCCAAAAUCCAAAAUUUCAAACUUUUAGGUCGGAAUACCAUCUACGACCCUCCACCAAUUGUGGAAAAGCUCGGAAUCCAAGUCAAGCGCUUGAACCUCGCAAUUUGCACAGGUCCAGUGUGUUACAUUCACCCCUUCCUAAAAGGAAGUUUCGUCCGUGAAACUCAAAGCAAAUACAUACCUUAGAACUCCAUCUGAAAGAGAUGGGGGUAGCGCUCCUGCAAAGCGCUCUCCAGCUCCCACGUGGCCUCCCGCUCCCCGUGGUUGCUCCAAAGAACCUUCACAUACGGAAUGUCCCGAUUUCGCAGCUUCCGCACCUCGCAAGCCAAGAUCCUCACUUGUAGCUCCUCGAAGCUCAGGUCAUCCCGCAACUCUACAGGUGUAGCAUCCAACACAUGAGUCGGGUCGAAGACGUACUCCUGAAGGACCGAUACUUGAAAGACGUUGUGCACGCCCGAUAGGUUCGGUGGUAGAGCAAGUCGAUACACUACCGGACCUACCUGCUCUAAGAUCUCAUGCGGUCCAAUGAAACGGGGGCUCAACUUACCCGGAAUUCCAAAUCUCCUGAUCCCUCUAGUCGGCGAGACCUUCAAGAAUACAUGGUCUCCAACUUGGAACUCCAAGUCUCGCUGCCGUCGAUCGGCGUAGCUCCUCUGUCUACUCUGUGCCGUCAAAAGUCACUCUCGAGCAAUUCGAACCUUGUCCUCUGCUUCCUGGAGCACAUCAGGGCCUAAUGCCAAUCUCUCGCCGACUUCACUCCAAUGAAGUGGCGAUCUACACUUUCGUCCAUAAAGUGCUUCGAAGGGCGCCAUCUUGAUGCUUGCUUGAUAACUGUUGUUAUAAGUAAACUCUGCCAUCGGUAGAUGCUGCGACCAUCCUCCCUGGAAGUCUAUCACACAAGCUUGGAGCAUAUCCUCUAAGAUCUGAAUGGUACGCUCCGACUGCCCGUUACUCUGCGGGUGGAAAGCAGUGCUGAAGUCCAGUCAGGUGCCCAGGGCGUCCUGCAAGAUCCUCCAAAAUUGAGACACAAACCGAGUGUCUCGAUCUGAUACAAUCGAAGUAGGCACUCUGUGAAGUCGCACAAUCUCAUCAAGGUACAAUUGUGCGAGCUUCUCUCCAGUCCAAGUAGUAUGAAUAGGUAUGAAGUGCGCCGACUUCGUCAACCUAUCCACGAUCACCCAUAUAGCAUCAUGCCCGGCCUGAGAGUGAGGCAAUCCUGUCACGAAAUCUAUGGUGAUCUUCUCCCACUUCCACACGGGAAUAGAUAAACUCUGAAGUUUUUUCGCGGGUAAUCGGUGCUCAACCUUUACUUGUUGGCAAGUUAAACAAUGAGCUACAAACUCGCCAACGUCCUUUUUCAUCCUGGGCCACCAAUAUAACAAUUUUAAAUCCUUAUACAUCUUGGUACCUCCCGGAUGUAUAGCAUAAGGCGCUCGGUGCGGUUCUUGAAGAAUAUCCUCUUUAACUCCCGAAUCCGCCGGUACACAAAUCCGUCCACGGAAACGCAUCAAUCCUUGGUCAUCCACAAGAAAAUCGUCGGUGCAACCAUCAACCAUUUUAUCCUGAAUCUUUUGCAAUUCUACAUCAGAAGCUUGCUUUUCUUUAAUUCUAUCCACAAGUGUAGGUUGCACUAUCAAUGUCAUCAACCUCAAAGGCGUGUCAGGAGUCACUACCUCCAACUCCAACCGCUUCAUCUGCUCGAUCAACUUCGGUUGAGUAACAACAUGCAUCGCUAAGUUUUUCGUCGAUUUCCUACUUAGCGCAUCCGCCACCACAUUAGCCUUGCCCGGGUGGUAGAGAAUCGUCAGAUCAUAAUCCUUGAGCAGCUCCAACUAUCUGCGCUGCCUCAAGUUUAACUCCUUCUGAGUGAACAGGUACUGGAGGCUCUUGUGAUCUGUGUAUAUCUCACACCGCUCGCCAUACAAGUAGUGGCGCCAUAACUUCAAUGCGAAGACUACCGCCGCCAACUCCAAAUAAAGCGUAGGGUAGUUCUUUUCAUAUUUCUUCAGUUGGCGAGAAGCAUACGCGAUCACCUUGCCAUCCUGCAUCAAAACGCAGCCCAAUCCAUUAAGAGAUGCAUCACUGGAAACCACAUACCCUGCUCUAGCAACCGGCAGGGUUAGGAUUGGGAAGGUCGUCAAUCGUCGCUUUAACUCUUGGAAGCUUCUCUCACACGCAUCAUUCCAGAUGAACUUGACAACUUUAUGCGUGAGCCUCGUAAGGGGAGUAGACAGCUUAGCGAACCCCUCAACAAAUCUCCGGUAGUAGCCGGCUAAUCCGAGAAAGCUCCGGAUCUCAGUGACGCUCGUCGGUCUCGGCCAAUCCUGGAUAGCCUCAAUUUUCUUAGGAUCCACGGCUAUACCCGAUCCCGAUAUCAAAUGUCCAAGGAAGGCUACCUCUCGAAGCCAAAAUUCACACUUUCUCAGCUUGGCAUAAAGCUCUUUUUCCCGAAGUAUUUGAAGUACAAGCCUCAAAUGCUCCUCAUGACCCGUAUCAUUUUGGGAAUAAACCAAAAUAUCGUCGAUGAACACUACGACGAACCUGUCCAGGUAAGGCUUAAAACACGGUUCAUCAGAUCCAUAAAAGCUGCCGGGGCAUUAGUCAGCCCAAACGGCAUAACUGUGAACUCAUAGUGUCUAUACCGUGUUCUAAAAUCCGUCUUCGAUACAUCCUCGGGUUUGAUCUUUAAUUGGUGGUAUCCCGACUGCAAGUCUAUCUUGGAAUACACACACGAUCCCUGAAGCUGAUCAAACAAGUCGUCGAUCCUCAGCAACGGAUACUUAUUCUUGAUCGUGACCUUAUUAAGUUCACGAUAGUCCAUACAUAGGCGAAGUGAUCCGUCCUUUUUCUUGACGAACAAAAUUGGCGCUCCGCACGGUGAGACGCUCGGUCGAAUGAAGCCCUUGUCCAGCAGAUCCUGUAGCUGUGCCCUCAGCUCCUUUAGCUCCGCCGGUGCCAUCCUAUAGGGCGCUUUCGAGAUAGGGGUAGUCCCGGGGACGAGAUCUACCACAAACUCGAUCUCCCUAUUCGGUGGCAUACCCGGUAGCUCAGCUGAAAACACGUCCUGAAACUCCCGUACCACCGGAAUAUCCUCAAUCCUGGGGGUGUCAUUCUCGCCCCUCAACACAACACUAGCCAAGUAGGCUACACAUCCUCGGCUGAUCACCUGCCUAGCUCGAGACGAGCUGAUCAACAUCGCAAAAAGCGAUCUCCGGCAUCCUCUAAACACAACCUCAGUCUGCCCCGGUUCUCUAAAAAUAACCGUGCGAUUCUUACAAUCGAUCGUGGCAUAAUACUUAGUUAGCCAAUCCAUACCCAAGACCACAUUGAAAUUCCCUAGCUUGCGUAAGGCUAGCAAAUCUACAGGCAUGAUGCAAUCUCCUACCCGAGCAGGGCAACUAGGACAAUACUCUCUAAUAUCCAGAGUGUGGUCGGGUACUGCAACAUAUUCCGGAUGCAACAAAAAAACUAAAGGGAUGCCAUGCAACUCGACAAACAACCGAUCUAUAAAUGAAUGCGAUGCACCGGUAUCAAAUAAAGCACGAACUCAAUGCCAUCAAGUAAAAUGAUACCUGCAACCACAUCCUCGGCUGCUGCCGCUUCCUCGGUCUGAGCGGCAUACAAACGCCCACUCGGGGCCUGUCGGAAUCCCUCGCUCUAGCGCUCGACGGGUGGCCGCCCAGGCUGGUACUGUGUCGACGGAGUCCCGUGGCUAGCGGCUGGUAGAGCCGGUGCCAAUGUAGUCGACGGUGCCGGUGAAGAACCUCUCGGGCACUCAUUCUGAACGUGGCCCUCCUGGCCACACUAGAAGCACCUGCCCGCCCGCUGUGGACACUGUGGUGGGUGGUGAGGACCACCGCAGAUCACACACAGGGAAGGCCGGCGACGAUCAAAACCUCCUCGCUGCGCUGCUGAGCCGCGUCCAUGCUGCUGGCUCCUAGGAUGCUUUGGCGGUCUCCUAAAGUGCGUCUGGCUCGCACCCUCAACCGCAGGCCUCUUGGCCUUACCCUUAUCCAUGGCCUCUCGCCACUCCUGGACAUCCGCCGCACUGCUCUCCACUAUGAGCGCGCGAUCCACCACUUUCCGGUAGGUUUGGAGGUCAGAGGAUUGCACGAACCGGAAAAUCAAUGGUCACAACCCUCGCUAAAAAAUGCGGGCCUUGUCCUCAUCGCCCCGCACGACGAAAGGCACGCAGUGUAGAAGCCGAGAAAACUCCCUCUCGUACUCGGCUACAGUCCGGUCUCCUUAGCGCAAGUUGCGCAAGUCCUGCUCUAUCUUCCUCUUGACGCUGGUUGGGAAGUAGUGUGCCAACAGAAGCUCCUUGAACUUCUUCCAUGAAAUGGCCGCCAAAUCAAUGCUGUGGUUCUCCUGGAGAUCCAACCACCAGCAAUAGGCCUCGCUAUCCAAGUGGUGUGUGGCGAGCCAAACUCGAUCUCUCUCCUCCACGAAAGUGUCGCGGAAGAGUUUCUCCAUAUGCAUCAACCACUUCUCCACGAUCCAGUGGUCGACCUUCUCGCCAUCGAAAAUUCGGGGACCGCACCUUCUGAACUCGUUGAGGCGCUCCAUCAAUCUGUCCCUCUCCUCUGUAGAAACCGUCAUGGGAAAAACUGCCCCCGCCGGAGGCACCUGAGCUGGUGGUGCCGCAAUCGCCCCCUCCUGUGGUGCUGCCGCAGGCGCCGUCCGAGAUGUGUCGAGUGCAGGGGACGACCCUCGGGGUGCAACCACCUCCACCGGCGCGGGUGGCGUAGGAUCCUGAGUCUCUCUAGCAGUAGCCUGCUAAAGUAGGAGGUCCUCCAAGCAUUUCAUCCGCGCCUCCUGUCGACGCGCCGUCUCUGUCUGCUGAGUCACCAUAUCAGUGAGGGCUGCAAGCUGGCCCCUCAACUCACGGACCUCGCCGGAUACGGAGGUAGCGGAGGUCUUGACCUCCUCUAGGUUAGCCAUAUUAUCCGCCCGGCAGAUUGGGAGCGUGUAAUCGGCAUCGUCACUACAACAUCAUAGAAGCGUAAGUUAGUAAACUCACGCUAUCGAAUCCCCGCUCAAGAAGGUAAAACCCCAAAUCAUGCGAAAGUAAAGAAGUGUGCUUCACUACUAACUCCCGAUGUUACGUUGUCGGCCGCAAACGUAACCCUCCGCGAUGUUAGAAGCCAUACACUUCGAUUCAACUCUACUUUCUAGAGUUAUCCAAAAUACCUAAUCACGAUACUUUCGCUUACAAGUCGAAUAGAUUUCGUCUCUCACGACCCUAUUUCCUAUAGUCCAACCGGCCUAAGGUUUGCUAGGUCCACUAAGACUCUACCCUAGGCUCUGAUACCAAAAUAAUCUGUCACGCCCCGGGACCCAGCGGAAGUCCGCCCGGCGCGUGCCCAGACCCGCCGUAUGUCUAAAACAUACAAGGCGUCUAAAACAAAACGAUAAAAGAAAUAACGAAGCGAUAAAUAAAGCGACAAAGGAGAAUAUCUAGAAGUAUCAGAGCAAAGUAUAUCUAUGAGCUACAUGUCACGCCCCGGGGCCCAGCGGAAGCCCGCACAGCACGUGUCCAGACCCGGCAUAUGUCUAAAACAUAUAAGGCGUCUACGAUAUAGCAAUAAAUAAAAUAAUAAUACAAGAGAUCUAGCGAUAUCAGAGCAAAGUACUACUAGAAUUUACAACGGGAGAGUACAACAACAGCUAAAAUCCACUAAAAUAAAUCAUGAAGUAGAACGACAGAAUUCCGAGUACAAAUGCUAUAAGUGGUACAAUGGCGGUCUCUAUACAUGGUAACAAAACUCUCUCUCACCAAAAACACAAAAAGAGAGUAGACCACCUAGGAGCAAAGGCAGGCUCCGCAUUAACUAGCUACGCGACUCCCUCGCCGCGAUCCUGUGCCUCCGCCGGUGCUGAAGGCUCUGAAAAAGGUAUCAAACAGAGGGCGUGAGAACUAUUAAAUAAUAGUUCCCAGUGGGCAAUUACUGACUUCAGUGAAAUGCACCACUAGGCCCAAAACUAAGCACGUAAGGUAAACGAGGCAGGUAAGAAUAAUAUGAACAAUUAAAGCACUGAAAAGGAAGCUCACUAUAACAUGAUGUCACUACUUUCAUCAGUAAUAAUCUACCACAUGAUCUCUAUUUAGCAUGGAUUUGCGUAAGUAAUAAACUACCACAUGAUCUCUACUUAGCAUGGAUUUGCAUAAGUAAUAAACUACUAUGGCAUAAUUGCACAAGUAUAAGCCGAACAUAACAACCACAAGCUAGAAUGGUAAUGUGUCAAUAUUUACUAUUCUAGUCAUUGUCUAAAUGGCAUAGUAUGUCACUUGUCACGCCCCGGGACCGGCGGAGGCCCUCCCGGUAGCGUGCCCAGACCCGCCAUAUGUCUACACAUAUAAGGCGUCUACAAGAAAAGCGGAAGUAAAAGCAAGAGAUGGAACAAAUGAAAGAAGUGAAGUAACAAGCCACUAAUGAUACCAGAGCGAGUAAAGUUCUAACAUCUAUACUAAUAGUAAUAGAACAUAACUAAUACAUAAAAGUAAACAUAAGUNNNNNNNNNNNNNNNNNNNNNNNNNNNNNNNNNNNNNNNNNNNNNNNNNNNNNNNNNNNNNNNNNNNNNNNNNNNNNNNNNNNNNNNNNNNNNNNNNNNNUUUAGUUAACGACGUGUUAAAUAAUCGAAGUUUCAAAAAUGAGUCAGCGGCCGCUUCUCUACAUUAGGCCGUGAACCGGGCUAUAUGCUCGACCGCAUUCUCGAUUUUAUCGCCCGAGAACUUGUCAAACUUCGACAUUUUCCAGUUUGCCGGAUACGGAUGUUCCACGUCGAUGUUCGCGGGAUAAGGAGAUCUAAACACAGGCCGCAUUGCCGGCCUUGCACCAACUCCGAAAGUAUUUCGGAUGGCUUCUUUAAUCCGUGCGGAUAUUUCAUUAUUGUUCCCCUGCAAAGGAAUCUGUGCUUGUACUACAUUCGGUCUUUGCGGUAGACAGAAAUUCGGUAUAAUAGGGUUAACUCCUUACAUAUUCGGAGCCUGCCCCCCAGCCCUUACGCCCACGUUUUGGGGCUGGUAAGCUGGUAAAGGAGGUAAACCCGAUACCAUCUCCGACUGCGGGCCGGCGUUUAUAUUCGCCGACCUAUAAGCGGCCCGGAAAGGUGCCAUUUGCAGUUGCGCCUGUGAGACCGCCGGCGUGACGGGAUUUUGUUGCAACGGCACAUUUAGGGGCCCCUGUUGCCCCCCGUAAGGUUGCUCAUUUCGGAUAAAUAACUGUCUGAUUCGAACAAUAUUUUCAUUGUAGGCCGUGAUGGAGACUAGCACCGCGUCUAGUCGAGCGGUACUUUGAUGGAUAUUUGAUCUACAGUUUGCAGGACUCGGGUCAUUUGGCCGAGUGCCUGAGUUAGACUCGGCUCUUGAUAAGCCGAUUGUCCACUAAUUUCAUUUUCUGCUGGCAAUAAUGCACAACGACGCUCAUCAGCGUUUUCAGUAUUGCUGGUUUGGUCAUUCCCGGAUGUUCGAGGAACAACUCGAUUGCGGAGAUUCAUGCCAUUGUCAUUAGCCAUAGUUUGUAUAAAAUGAAAAUACAAAUUUACCUGGACAAGUGUCCCACCGGGCGUGCCAAAAAUUGUUAUGUGCCGAAUUCCCUGACCCUUGACCCGAUCAAAGAUCCUCUUCAGGGAGCGUGUCAGGAUGAAAACGGCUUCAGAUAGUGACCCUCGAAGUUUGCGCCCUUCGAUUGAUCAAGCGAUUCGGCUGAUGAGGGAUCGGAUCAGCCGAGUUUGAAAACCUUUACUAUAAAUUCGGUUCGGCUAGAUGAGCCGAAUUAAUAAAAUGCACAGAGUUUUGGGUCGGCUAAUGAGCCGAAUAUAUGGAAUACACGGUAACUGGUCCGCUGAAAGAGCCGAAUGCCUUUAUAUAUUAAUAAAACAGAGUGUGCCCGAAGGGCAUACAGACUUUGAAAAUCUAGAUUACAACAGAGCGUGCCCGUGGGGCAUACAGACUCCAGAUCUAACUUAAAAACUACUCCUAGGAAAGCAGUAAAUGUAGGUAAAAAAGAUUACAUGUAAACUACUCCUAGAAAAUGAUAAAUGAAGGAAAGAAAAGUAUUAAAAAUGUGGUGAUCUUCUCGUUCAGGGAAGAUAAAGAUCUCUAUUACAGGUUUCAAAGUUACUAUUUAUAAUAUCUUAUCAGCCGACAUUAUUGGUUGGUUAUAGUAGUGGGGGAAGUGGUGUAGCCAUGAUCAUGGAAGUAACGCCCCACUUCAUAUGGAAGUUACUCCCCAUUUCUCAACAGUUCCCGCCUAAACGCUCUUGACCUUCAGGCGCCUUAUUGCGGACUUCUGGUGUACCACGUGUCCUUAUUUCUUUAGUCAUACGUAGGUUAGGUCGGCGUGUUAAUUUUAAUUUUGGCAUCAAUUGCGACUAAGGACCAUUUUGGCACUUCGUAAAUGGAGAAGAAGUGCAAGGGUAGAUUAGAGAGGACUGAAUUUAUAAGAGUAAGUCUGUCCCCUCGAGAUAGGAGUUUGAAUUGCCAUCCUUGAAUUCUUAUGUCUAAUUUGUUGAAAACAUUUAUCUAGUCCUCUUUCUUUAAGCACCUAUUAGAGAGUGAGCAACCCAGAUACCGAGUAGGUAGAGCUCCGACUUUGCAGUUUAGGAUGGCUGGUAAAUGCACAUUGGACUAGUAAAACUAGUUGCCAUGCUCAAUCUAGAUUGUUCAUUCCAAAAAUUCUAACGACUGAAUAUAUUUUUUUUUGUAGUAUGGAAGUAUUACUCUUAAGCCUUUGGGCUGAAUGAAUUCUCAAAAAUAUAUAACGUUCCAAUAUAUCUGAACUUCAAACUUAUGUCUAGUAGCUUAGCUGUUAAAUUAUAUACGAAUUAAAAUCGUACCAUCUUCCAUGAUUUCGAUUUUCAAACACGGAUUAUAGAUAGUGAUUCUUCCUCUGAUUUGUCCUCAUUCAUGACGUGUUAAAAAGCGGGACAUUUCCAGUCUAUUCCCUUAUCCCUGGAGAUGGAGCUGUCACAAAAAAUUUAGAUUACAGUUAGACUGGAACUCCUGUUAUAUAUAUAAAAUCUAAUGUAAGUAUGUGUAAUUACGCCUGUCCAUCAACAACGUGCUCGGAUGCAUUCUAAUCGUUGGAUUGACUGUAUCUUUAUGGAUCGCUUUGAAUAAAUCUCGUAGGCCAUAUCCAACAUUCUCCCACUUGGCCUAGUGAUGUAUUCAUCAUUGUAUAGGCGAUAUAAACUUUUAUCAGGUACCUACUAAAUUAUACAGUUAAAAUCUCCCAGCCGACAAAGGAAUCAUAAUAUUUUGAUCAUAGUAGUUAUGUUCCAACAGAUGAACAUUCCCUUCCAUCUAUCAAAAAUUCGUAUUUCUUAAUCAAGCAUCUUUAUGAGUUACAAUUGUAUGAACUUUAUUAUAAGUUCAACUCAGAGUCCAACUUUAGUGCACAAUUAUACUUUAGUGUACACAAUAAUACUUUAUGUGCAUAUGUGCAAAAAUCAUAACGNAAUAAUACUUUAUGUGCAUAUGUGCAAAAAUCAUAACGUGUUCUUAUUCAAGAAGAAAAAAUUCAAACUGUAAACGUAGUUAAGAUACCUAUACAAUCAAUAUGAUCCUUAUACCUGUUUUCUAGAAUGCUUUAGUCAUAGGAUUAGAGAUCAUCAUCUCAGUCCCAAUUUCUUCUUCUUGUCAUAUUCUUUCAUAGCAAUGUAUUUUAUAUCGAACUUUUUGCUGCGAUCUGUAAUUCGACUAAUUGUAAUAAAAAACACUAGCAGAGUUAUCACAAUAAAUCUUAAUUGUCCUGUGAUAGAGUCGACAACUCUUAAAUCUAAGAUAAAAUUUCUCAGCCAUAAAGCUUGUGACGAAGCCUCAUAACAAGUGAUGAACUAUCGACCGUCCCUAGCGCAAGUGGCAAAGGACUUGGUGGUUGGUACCCAAGGACCCAAGUUUGAAUCCUAGUUGAUUCACAUUUUCAGUUAAGUUUAUUUCUAAAAUAAAAUAAACGAAGCGCGUAGCAUGUUACCUAUCUCUAAAAAAAAAAAGUGAUGAAUUUUGCCUCAAUAAUGGAUGUAGUAACUGUAUCCUACUUAGUGCGCCUCCAAGAUAUAGUUCCCUGAGCAAGGAAUAAAAUAUAUUCCGAUGUGGACAUUCUAGAAUUCGGAUAUGCAGCAAAAUCAGAGUCCAAAUAACUAACCACUUCAAGAUGUUCGAAAUGCCUAUAAGUGAGCAUAUAGUCCUUUAUUCUCUAUAAAUAUCAUGACCUUCUUCACAGCUUUCUAAUGAUCAAGGGCAGGGUUGCUUUAGUAUCUACCCAACAACCCCACUACAUGAGCUAUAUCAGGCUUGGUAUAGACCUGCGCAUACAUUAAGCUCAUCCCUAAUGUAGAGGCAUAGGGUAUGCUCUUCAUAUGCUCUCAUUUUAAAUUAUGGGUAAUGUUUUUGAUUGAAUCUGUCACCUUUCACUAUAGGCGUAGCUGUAGGUGCAAAAUUUGCCAUAUUAAAUCUUUUUAGAACUCUUUCGAUAUAGGCUUUUUGAGAUAAACCCUACUGCAAGCUGUCUAUAGAAACUGUUGACCCAGUCAAAACUCUCUUUUAGGAAGCAAGUCGUGAGACAGGUCGUCUCCUGAUGAUGAUCCUUGAAUCCACCCAAAACAGAAUCAAGCGAUCGGCUAAGGAGGGAUCCGAUCAACCAAGUCCGAACACUUGAAUAUAUUUUGACUCAGCUGAAUUAGCCGACUGACUUCAAUAUAUUUCGAAAAAAUAAAGAUGUAUAGGAAGAUAUGUGUCACGCCCCAAUCCCCGCCAAUUUGGUCGGGUUCGGGUCACGUCAACAGACGCCGAACGGACAACAUCUCCUUUGUCCGCCCAAGGCUCUAACAACAAGUAUAAUUAAGCAAUCAACCAAAGUAAUUUGCAAUUAUACAAGGCUUGCACGAGGGCAAGCAACAACGGAAGCGAAAGCUCUAAGCUAAAUAUACAACCAUACACAAUAUUUGAUUACAUUUAAACCAAAUACUUGUAACUAAAACUAUUACAUUCAAUUUACUUUCAUUCAUAGUUCUUUGUACAUCAUAAUCAUUCUCCAAAAAUACAGGAAUUGUUUUCAACUUUUACAUCUAUAAAUCAACAAAUGAAAGUUGAUACAUGUACGCAAAAGGGAAUGACUAAAUGCAUAAACUCCGGUGGCCACUAGCUAUGGCGCAAUACCCUUCCCUCGAUACUCCGCCGCCCGGCUCGCGCUCGGACCUGUAGGGUUAGUGGUGUGAGAACUACAACGAAGUUCCCAGUGGGUUCGGCAAUCGACCUCGCCGACUUACCCACUAGGUCUAUUCAGGCAUAAGUAUUUCAAAGGAAAGGAAAACUGUAAACAAUGCUAAUGCUAAUACUAUGCCUGCAAGAAAGCUGUCAGCGGAUAUAUAAAAUCAAAUAUGAAUGAUUAUGCAUGCAUGCUCUUUUCAUAAGUAUACUUUGGCUUUUACCCAAUCUUACCGGUUAACCAUCUUAACUCCAAUAACUCACAACUCAAAAUCCCUUAAUAACGGGGGACUCGAACCACCCUAGGGACCGUCUUCUGGGGGGACUUUACCACGCCCAGUGGUGACCAACUCCGGAGCGCACCGCCCGAUGGAGAGCUACCUCCCUCAAGCUAAGACUUAUCGUGAGUAUCGAUCCAAUCCUCAACUCGAGGAUAUAUAGCCACUAGUCACAAUGCCAUUGUCAUAAUAGAUUUCUACCUAUUUGUUCAUGCCACUUUUUAAGUCAUUCUUGUUACGAUGCCACUACGAUUAAACCUUGUUUAACAACCAAUGUCUUAAUGCCAAUCUUGUCUCUAUUGUCAAUGUCACCUUUGUUUACUAUAAUUAAGGUCCAAGUCUCACAAUCUUUAGGGUUCUACUAUACAUGUCCAUUAAUCCAUCAUUCUCUAUGUUCAACUACAUUAGAAGCAUAUAAAUAAAGUCAAACCAAGGUUCACAUGUAAACUACCUUAUCAUGCAUGAAUGAUACUAUACAAAGAUAUGCUCAACAAAGGCGAAAUAGACAUAAAGGGGAAUCCAACGAUUCCGGUAUGCACCUCCUACCUUGAAUAGUGUAGAAGGGUUGUAGUUCGACUCUCGUGAUUUUAGGACGCCUCUCCCGCGACCUAUACCAAAAAUAGUACCGAAUUAGGCUCUAUACACAAGAUCUCUUACUUAACCUAUUUCAUAACGUCAAACGGAGUUGUUUCACGCGUCGGGAAUAACUAUAAUUAGGUUUCCAAGAGGUCAAUCUACCUUGAAAACAACCGGAGGCAAAAGCCCCAAAAUCCAUGCCCUAACAAUGCCAUAAUGGAAUUUCUCCUAGAUUGAUCUCAAUCUUAAGCAAAAGUUAGCUUAGAUUCAACUAGGAAGCAUUCUAAUACCAUCACUAAGCCAUUCGUAUCAUUCCUAGGGCAUCUAGCAUGAUCCCUAGUUAUCCACCAUGAGAGCACCUUGAAAAACCAUGGAUUUCAUGGUGCUCAAGCCUCAAAAGGGUUUCUAAAGCUAGAAAUAAACUCAAAACUCUAAAACUUAGGGUUAAAUCCAAACCCUAGAUGUGCUCUACUCUAAAACUUACCUUAGCCCAAGCUCCUCCCAAGGUCCUUCUUGUUAGAGAGCUCCAAGAUCCUCCAAAGCCACCAAAAUCUCCUUCAAUGUCUUCUUCUCCUUCAAUUCCUUGCCCUAGAGCAAGAUCUCUAGAGAGAGAAAGAGAGGAAUGAGAGAGGGAGAGAGUUGGGGUGUUGGCUGUGAAGGAGAGGGGUGUUGGGGUAAUAACAUAUUGUGACAUUUGCAAGUAAGCCUUCCAAAUAUCUCUAUUUGCAACAGACCUUAUUGUUGCUGCCAGACCAAAGUAUACCGGUACACGGGAUUUUGUACCGGUACAACUCUGCGUAGAGGCCAAACCGGAGAGCCACUCUCUCGGUUACGCGGGAUUUGUACCGGUACAUUUUCAAAGUGUUCCGGUACACUUCCAAUUAUUUUUUUUCAAACCCGAGGGCUUACUCUUCUCGGGUUGCAGGGCUGUAUCGGUGACAACUCGCUGGUUGUACCGGUACACUUUGCCCAGAAAGCUGGCUUUGCGCCGUUUUUGAUUCUAUUUCGCGCCGAUCGAUACUAAAACCUUUCUAACAUCUCUUAAACUCAUUUUUAGCCCUUCCAACAUUGUUGGAAUGCUAAAUGCAACUUGUUCAUCCAUCUUUUUCGCAUACUUUAGUCAAUUUGGCUAAAGUUCGAUAAUUUCUUCCGGGUUUCAAUAUGUUACAAUAUGUCUUUUUGCUAACUUACUAAGCUCUUAACUACAGGAAAAGCAAUAAAAUCUACUGUAACUAACAAGAAAAUUUAUCUUAACACUCCUAGGGAAUCGAUAAGAGUGGAAAAUAAAAGAAAUUGAAAUUGCGGUGGUCUCUUGUACACGAAAUGACCUUUUGUGCAGACAAGUUUUGUUUAUUUAUAAUCUUGCCUGCCGUUAUUUAGUUAAUCCUUGUCAUGGGGGUGUAUUUCAGCACGUCCCUUUUUCCUCAGAUUAUGCCUUAGUAGUUUCUUCCCACGUCUUUAGCUUCAUCUAAAACUGCUUUCCCAUUCCAGGCCUCUCUCAACUCCAGGUGUAUCACGUGUGGCUUUGUAUAUGGUUCUUUUAUUUCGUCCACGUGGUCCAACCUUUCCUUCCAUGUGACGCCAUUUUUGAGGCGCCAAUAGACCCAGAAUUCUUUGAGAUGUAUUCCUGUGAAUGUUUUAUGCCAAUGACAUAAGAAGUUUCAUCCAUAUCUUUUAUCUCAAUGUUCUUAGAAAGAAAAUCUUUGGUCUUCUUAAGCAAACUCGAAUCACUACUUGCAAGGAGAGUAUCAUUCACGUACAAGAUUAAGAAAAUAUAUUUACUCCCACUGAUCUUAAAGUAUAUACACUGAUCCAUGAUAUUUUCUAUGAAACUGAAUGUAGUAAUUACAUCAUUAGACUUGAUGUACCAUUGGCGAGAGGCCUGCUUGAGCCCAUAUAUGGACUUCUUUAGUCUGCAAACAAGGUGAUUGUUUCAUUUAAAAAACUCUUCUCCAUGGCUGAGCUACAAAAGCCAUGAUAAUUUUUUAUAAAUCCUUCUUGAAUGCCGGAGACAAGGUUUCAUGAUAAUCAAUGUCUUAUAAAAUGGACAUUAAAAUGUUCCUUUGUCAUAUAGACCACAGUCAUGGUCUCAUAAUUUUUCAUCAAUUUUAGUAUUGGUUUUUGUGACUCCAACAAUGCCCCCCCGGAUAGCCACCUGAACAAUCGUUUCGGGUGGCUGGCGUCUCUUUGUUUCAACAACCGAGAUUUGGGCACCGCGGGUUCAAUUGUUGAUGCCAUCCCUUGUAGUCACAUCACUUGUGGCUUCAACAGGUCGUGUCUUUGGUCAUUUCGUACUUGAUUUUCGUCUUUCGACAGGUAUGAUUUCUAGUGCCUUUUGUCUCAUUUAGGGACGACUAUGAUUUUUUGUGCCUUUUGUCUCAUCUAGGGCAUUAAUAGCUGCUGUUAUAUUGUCAUUAUACAUUAUUUUGAAAUUCCCUUCGACGGAUUCGUCUUCUUCCUGCCCUCUUGUUUCUUCCUUUUUGACUCAUUUUCUUCAUUCUCAAGGAUCUUCUUUUUCAACCCUUUUAUUUCUUUUCAAGAUCUUCUUCUUCAACUCCAAACUUCUUUCAAUGGCUCGGAUUUCUUCUCUCCCUUCAUCUCUAGAUCUUGACUACACUCUUCUAAGACAAUAUAUUGAGACGAACUCUUCUCGCUUCGUACUCGGCCUUUUCUUUCGUGGCGCCUUCUGCAGUCAAUGCUUUUCCUUUUUCUGCAGAGGGGCUUCUUUUAAUGGCCAAUGUCAUCCAUCUUCAUUCCUGAUCUUUCUCAAAGUCAUUAGAGAAGAGUCUUCGUACACCUGGUUGGACCGAAUUUAGGGGUCUUAUGCCAAUCUUUGGUGUGAAGUUGGGAUCUAUGAAGAUAUCCAACUUUCGAGGACCCUUUCUUAAGCCGACAACCUUUUUCUUGUUGCGGCUUUAUAUUAUGGUCUUUAGUCUCUAACACUUUCUUCUUCAAGACGGGGCCCUUUACCCUGACCCUCUUUGACGUGGCGGCGAUCAUGAUCAUUCAGUCUCCAUUCUUAUGGCAUCGUUCUAUCCAUGGUGUACAACCCUGAUGGAGUGGCGAAUUUUGAAGCCCACCCUAGAUCUGAAGGCAGAUCUUGUUUACACCAAGUUUAUGUAGCGGUUUGCAGGUCAGUCUUCCGCUACGGUCACCAGGAAGGAGCAUACUACCUUUCUCUUCUAUUGACUGUGCCAUAAUCUCUUCUGCAGCCGCUCGCAGAAGGUCAAUCAGGACUUUGUCCCCAUUGUUAUUGCGCUUGCCAAUAGCGAAAAGUUAGCACUCGGUUUAUACUUCCUUUCUUUCCUCUACCGAGAAAUCUUUGAGUCGAUCAAGCCACUGCUAUUGAAGAAUGGCGUGUCGAUCUGCUCCGACUGUGGCUUUUUUUAUUUUUGCAACUUUGCCUGCAGCUCUUAUUUUCGGCCCUAUGCCGAAUCCCCCUUGUCCAAAAUUCGGCUCCUAAUUUUGAUACUUACGGACUAGCCCUCGGCUGUCCAGAGCCCCUUACUUCAGAUUAGCUUGAUGAUUUUUUUACUUACUUUCGGGUCUUCUAUGCCAAAGACCAACAGCGUCUCAUCAGGUGGUCCCCUUUUGGAGAGUGACUGACCGGCCUGAAAUGGUUCAUCGCUCAGUACAAGGCUGUCGAGGAUCAGAGGGCUUAUUUCGAUUCCAGCGAGCACUCUGAGGUAUGGUACUCUUUUUUGGCCCCGCAGGAUCUUCAUGUCAGCCUAAAGAUCAAUCAAAGUUGACGUUGAGUAUUGAGGUCAACUGCCCUCAUUAUGUGGCGCGCCAAUUUAGUUUAGUUCAGGCAAUCCUAGCUUCAUCCAAAUUCUUUACAUCUAAUACUGCCUGUAGCCAUUCUCCUACGAAAAGGGUAGCCGAAGCAGAUUGGCUCUCAGCUAUGGGGAAUCUCCUUAGGCACCUUUUUACUUGUGUGGGUUUUCGACAGAAUCACAUAGGGUUGACCGAGCUUCACUUCUGGGGUGCUUGAGAAAGCUUCUGUGAGAGUAUCAUUUCCAAGACCUUUGUCUCACUGCCUCCACAACAUCCUUCAAACAGAAGGUAUUUUAUCUCUUUUUUGAUUCAAUUCCCUUUUUCUUCUUUUCUUUAAUUUCUUUUGCUUGUUUUAGCCAACACUUCUGCGGGCAGAGAAGCCGUGCCCGAUUCCGCAGAACAAGAGGAUUCAAGUGAAAGUUUCGACAAGAAUCCAGAGGUCUCGCUUCGCUCCUCAGUGGUAUAUUUCGCUUUUCAUGGUACAUCUGUAUUUAUUGUGCUUUCAACUUUUUUUUUUUUUCUUUUUAGCCGGUACGUUUUCCGUCAUCGGCCAAGCUACCAGAGAAGUAGCCGAUCAAAUACAUCCCCCCAGCUCCUUCGCUGCAGCAAAAGUGGUGAAAAUUGAUUGCGAUUAGAAUUCGCUCUCAACUUCCCCCUGCGUCAGCUAAAAGUGUACCGUCUGUGGAGAAGCCGACCAUUGGUGUUAUACCCUCGGCUGAAACUACUAUUUCAGAGGUACUAGAAUCGGUCCCGACAAGGACCCCCAUUUAGUCAACUCCUGCUGAAGAAGGCCUGCAACAAGUUUCAUUAUUGGCCGAGGUAAAUCCUUAGCCUAUUUUGAUUGAUUCCCCUUCUGAUCCUUCUCGCUUUUCAACUGGAUCACCGCCAUUAUUCCUAUCGGUCGAGUAACUAAUGGAGAUGACGUCUGGUAAGACCUCGGCAAAGAUCCCACAUUCUUGAUUUGCCUUAGCGCUCGUCGAGCUCGUUGAGAAGCUCGCCUCCACUUUUUUGCAAUGACAGGCGAGCUUGUCGAGACGUCGCCAGGAAAAGGAACAAGAGGAUGAGAGAAGAUGAAAAGAGAAGAAAAAAUAGGAGGGAGAAAAUGGUGAAGGAAAGAAGGAGAAAGGAGGGAAGAAAGAGGUAAAGAAAGGAGAUAAAAGCAGGAUGGGAAAGGGAAUCGAACUAGCCUCCCUUGGUGAAUCUCCGAUUGAAGCUUCGAGUUCAGUCGUCAUACCGACAAGUAGAGACCCUACGUCUUCUAGUAUGUCGGAAAAUGUUCUGGCGAUUUUCCUUCAAGAGCUAGCUGCUUUGAGCCCCAAAUAUAAUGAAAAGGAGGACUUUUCUGCUGCAUGUUAGCCGAAACCCAGCAGAAGUUGGAUGAAUGUCUUCAGCUGUACAGUAGUGGUCUUUCUACUUUAGCUCGAAGCCUGGCUCAAUUCAAUCGACUCGGAGCUCUUCUCAUUGACCUCUUAGAACAAUCUGACUUAUCCUUUUCAGGUCAAUGUUUUGCGAAGACAUUAUCUACGUGCCUCUCUCCUUUCCUAACUCGGCAACAAACUCUCUCUACCAAGUAUGUCACCCUGGAUGCUCAUUUUUCAUUAGUUGGUUCUUUCAAGAUGAAGGUUAACGAGUUGGUGGUUCCUCCAACCGAUUGCAAUAAACAGGGUGAUAUUUUGAGAGAUCAGGAAUCAGCUCUUCGGCAGAAGAUUGCCUAUCUUAAGAAAGAGCUUGCCGAAGCCAAGGGUGCCCUGGCUCCCAUAUCUCAGGAACUUGAUUCUCUCUGAGUGCAAUACCAGGCUAAGAGAGAGAAAGAGGUAGCAGUCUACGAACAACUCUCCUAUCUCUACAAGCUUCAUUCGAUGAUGAAGCGAAAAAAAUGUGCAGCUGAUCAAGCUAAGGCAAACCUGUAAGCCGAAUGAAUCAACUUAAAGAUUUAUUGUUAUAGUCUUUUGGCUUUUAAGUAUUUUUUUGCAUCAGCUGUAAUAUAUUUUGACAUUUAACUUGUUUAUUUCUUUUUAUGAUAAUAUAUUUAUUCAUUUUUGCAAACAAAAGGGUAAUACUUUCUUAAGUACUUUCCGUUAAUCGGUUUGUUAUUUUUUAAUCCUUCCAAUGUCUUUAAGAAAUAUGCAUUGCCUUCGGUAUUUUGUAUAUUUGGAAAGGUUCUUCCCAAUUUGGAAACCAUUUUCCAUAUAGUUGACCUNGUUUAUUUCUUUUUAUGAUAAUAUAUUUAUUCAUUUUUGCAAACAAAAGGGUAAUACUUUCUUAAGUACUUUCCGUUAAUCGGUUUGUUAUUUUUUAAUCCUUCCAAUGUCUUUAAGAAAUAUGCAUUGCCUUCGGUAUUUUGUAUAUUUGGAAAGGUUCUUCCCAAUUUGGAAACCAUUUUCCAUAUAGUUGACCUUGUAAGAUGAUCGACAAUACUAAUUUUAGUACUAAAUCUCCAACUUUAAAAGACUGCCCUGACUUUCUUGUUGUACACAUUACUUACUCAGCUCUAAUAGGCUUUAAAAUAGUCGAAUGCCAGCAGCUGAGUCUCAUCAAUCUUGUCUAAAUUUUCGCACAUCGAGAGUUCAUGCUGUCUAGGCGUUAACUCUUUUUGUCCCUCGACUGUCAGGCCCCAGGGCCGAUUUUGAAAGCCUUUUUAUAAUGAAUAUCAUUUUUGAAAUCAGAGUUACGAAAAACGUAUCAUUCCUUUUUUUUUUUGAAUUCAACCUGGCCCACGUGACGUAAAGAUCCGCAACAAAUACAAAGUUCCUCUGUCCACUCGGAUAGAGUUUCCUUUGUAUUUGCACAGCUACCAACAACAACAUCAGGAUCACAACCACAAUCUAUAUUCAUCGAUCUACAAACAAUCUAUGCGAUGCAUUUUCAUACAGCUAGUGAUCCUUAGAGAUGAUGCAUGUCUCUAAACACUCCUUAGGCGUUGAAUGAUGCGAUGCACAGUACAACUGUAACACACUGGACCUGUGCAAAUUGCGAGGUUCGAGUGUUUGAUAUGGAUUUCGAGCUUUUCCACACUUGGUGGAAGGUCGUAGACUGUAUUUCGACCUAAAAGAUCGAAUUCCUGGAUUUUGGCUAAGUCCUGAGAGUUUUCACUCUCAGGGACUGGUCCCUGGUGGGAGAGACCGGUCCCCCCGGAAUAGUGUUGCGGCAGACUUGAGGCAACCGGUCCCUGGCUGUGAGAGACCGGUUCCUGCGAGCAUGUUCUGCGGGAGGGUCCUGAGGGACCGAUCCCAGCUGGGAGAGACCGGUCCCUCUGGGCAAAAAUUGCCCAGUUCGGGCUGAUGCACUGCUUGGAUUAUUGAGGGACCUAGGUGGAUUUUGUUACUUGAGAGGGCUUUUAGGCCAUUUCCUCUCUCUCUUUUCCUCACUUCUCACUCUCUCACACUCUCUAGAAAGAGAAGAAGAAAGAGAAACAAGAGGAGAAGAAGGAGAAAGGGAAGAAGGAGAGCUUGCCUUGUGGACUUGGGACUUCUUCCUCAACCUCUCCUCCCACCAUUGGAGGCUUGGAGCUUGGACUUGGAGCUUUGUGGAGGAUCAAUCUUCAACCCUUGAGAAUUUUGAGCUUGGUUUGGAGCAUUCUAGAGGUAAGUGACUAGCUUCCUUCCUCUAGAUCCUAGUUUUGGAGCUUUAAACUAGAUGAAACAUUAGAUUUGGAUUUUAGGAUUUAUUUUGGGGAUUUUUGAUUGGUGGGCUUUGGGACCCAAUUGAUUCGUUUAGAACCUUCCUUUAGGUUGGAUUGGAAUGGUUCUUGCUCUCUCUUGCAACUUGAGAAGGGAUUUCUACACAAGAGGUGAGUUUUGCCCUUUUCUUGAAUCGGUUAAAGAUUGAGCUUAGUAUUGUUCGUAAGGUUCGUUUGACUCUUGUUCCUACAUUUUUAGGGUGCUAAGAGACUAGUGGACACCUCCGUUUGGCGAAACGAAGAGUUCCGUUUUUUGGUGGGUUUGACUUCAUGAAAACGGGGCAAAAUUACCCCUAUGCUUUCUAUACUUAUCGUAAAGUCUUUUUGAAUAUAAAUCCAUGUUAGAUAGGAUUUAUGUGAAUUUUAGAAUACUUAAAAUGCAUGUGCUAUGUGUAAAAUAAAUUUCACUCUAUAUAGUAGAGCAUUCUGGGUAAUCUUCAUGCAGGUGAGAAGUGUUCGAGAUAGCAACGAGAAUCAUGUCUCUUAUGUUAAGUUAACUCAUAAUUGGGUAAUUGUAAACACUGCACUAUGAUUGGACUUGGUGAACAAAGUGUCAUAAAGGGGCACUUGACUUUAUAGACUGUGAAGCUAUUAUAUUGAGACAUUGACAUGAUGACAUAGAGAUAGGCCUUGAGACAUUCGAUACAUUCCAUGUUGUUAGGCAUAAGGACCUGGUACUUGAGACGGAUCUUACGCUAUUUGCCAUUGUGCUCAUUCGCACAUGUUUGUGAGGGUCGCUUCCUACAAGCCGGCACUUCGUAGAUGGCCAUCGCGAUACAUAUUCGCCGUGUGGGAUUGGGCGCCGAAAUGGAUUGCCGUGGGAAAGGCUCAUUCCUAGAGUGAGGAUGUUGACUACCACGGGACCAUUAGGCUCGGCAACGGCCAGACAGCCUACGGGUGAGUCUUCAGGCCAGACAGCCUUCGGGCGGGUCUCACGAGAUUUAACUUUAAGUAGUUAACAUGCCAUGUGGAUAUUGACUAGAAUAGUAAACAAUGACAUCUUUACUAUUUAGCUUGUGGAUAUCAUACUAGCGAUAUUUGGUACAUUCAUGCUAGUGUAGCCUUUUAUUACUUGAGCAAAAUCAUGCUAAGUAGUGAUAUCUUGUGGUAGUAAGCAUUCUUGUUUCUUUACUCGUUGUACUUAUCACUCUUACUUAUGCUUGUUUACUGACCCCUUUUUGUAGCUUGUGGGUCUAGUGGCGCAUUUCACUGAAGUCAGUAAUUGCUCACUGGGAACUAUUAUUUAAUAGUUCUCACGCCCUCUAUUUUAUGGUUUUAUUUUAGAGCCUUUGGCACCGGCGGAGGCACGGGAUCGCGGCAAGGGUGUCGCCUAGCUUGAUAGAUAGCGGAGCUCGCUUUUGCUCCUAGGUGGUUACUCUCUCUUUUUUUUGUGUUUUUGUGUGAGAGAGGUUUUGUACUAUGUAUAGAAAUCACCUAUGUACCUUGUUUAGCUCUUGUAUUUGGGACUCCUAUUGUAUUACUUUAUGGUUUUAUCUAGUGGAUUUGGCUUAUGUUCUUUUUCCUUAUUGUAGCCUCUAGAUAUACUUUGCUCUGAUACUCUUAGAUGUUCUUCUUCUAUUGCCUUAUUUAUCGUUUUGUAUUAGACGUCUUGUAUGUUUUAGACAUAUGGCGGGUCUGGGCACGUGCCGUGCGGGCUUCCGCUGGGUCCCGGGGCGUGACAACAACAAUCAUCCUAUUUAAAAGUGCUCCCCACCCGGAAGUUUUGUUUUUAAACUUUAUUUAAUCAUCCAAAAAACCAUUCGAAAAUCUUUUAAAACUGGUUCCUACUCGGAAACUCUAUUUUGAAAAUCGACUACCUUGAGGGAUAGAAAACUACAAUGCGUAAAUACAUAAAUCCAAAACCAAGGAUCCGUAAAUCUCAAAUCGCAUGCAUAAUGGAAAAUAUCAACUCAAACCAGUUCACAAAUACUGAAACAAUAAUAGUAAUCAUCUAACUGAACCAUUUAAUUAUUUAAAUUACUAAAUGCGAAAAUAAAAUAUAACCAGGGUGAUGGUUGCAACUGCAGUCUAGCUAGUACGUUCUCCUGUCGCACCAAGAACCAACUACUUGCCCGAGUCACCUGGGGAAAUGGGAGGGGAGGGGGGGUGAGAAACCACAAUCAAGAUUUUCUAGUGGGUACGACAGAGCCACGAAGGCAAAUCGUAUUCACUGGAAAACAAAGAAGAUAGAACAACAGAUAUAUGUAUAAGGAUAUGAAGAACGACUACAGUAGUUAUAACAACAGGUAUAAUAGAGAACGAGUAAUAAAAACUGGUAUUGUAAAGAAUACAAUACUGAGCAUGCCACAAGGUAAUCAACUCAAAACUGUACCCAAUCUGGUGCCUGCUAUAUUGGUCCGCAGCUAGAUUGUGGUUGUGACAAGCAACGCUUGAGGUCUGCGGACCAAUAUAGCAGGCACCAGAUUGGGUAUAGUUUUGGAUUGAUUACCUUGAGGCAUGCUCAGUAUUGUAUUCUUUACAGUAGCAGUUUUUAUUACUCGCUCUCUAUUAUACCUGUUGUUAUAGCCACUGUAGUCGUUCUUCAUAUCCUUAUACAUAUAUCUGUUGUUUUAUCUCCUUUGUUUUCCAGUGAAUACGAUUUGCCUUCGUGGCUCUGUUGUACCAACUGGAAAACCUUGAUUGUGGUUUUUCACCCCCCCAUUUUCCUAGGUGACUCGGGCAAGGAGUUGGUUCUUCGUGCGAUGGGAGGACAUACUAGCUAGACUGCAGUUACGACCGUCACCCUGGUUAUAUUUUAUUUUCGUAUUUAGUAAUUUAAAUAAUUAAAUGGUUCAGUUAGAUUAUUACUAUUACUGUUUGAGUAUUUGUGAACUGGUUUGAGUUGAUGUUUUCCAUUAUGCAUGCGAUUGGAGAUUUAUGGAUCCUUGGUUUUGUAUUUACGUAUUUAUACAUUGUGGUUUUUUACCCCUCGAGGUAGUCGGUUUUCAAAAUAGAAUUUCCGAGUGAAAAACAGUUUUAAAAGAUUUUCGAAUAGUUUUCUGGAUGAUUAAAUAUUACUUAAAAACAAAGCUUCCAGGUGGGGAGCACUUUUAAAUAGAAUAGCUGUUGUACCGUGCAUCACAUCAUCCAGCACCUAAGGAGUGUUUAGAGGCAUGCAUUAUCUCUAAGGAUCGCUAGCUGUAUGAAAAUGCAUCGCAUGGAUUGUUUGUGGAUUGGUGAAUGUAGAUUGUGGUUGUAAUCCAGCUGUUGUUGUUGGUACGCCGUGCAAAUAUAAAGGAGACUCUGUCUGAGUGGACAAAGAAACUUUGUAUUUGUGGCUGGUUUGUACAUCACGUGGGCCAGAUUGAAUUCAAAAAAAAAAAGGAAUGUCAGGUUUUUCGUAACUCUGAUUUCCAAAAUGGUAUUCAUUAUAAAAGGCUUUCAAAAUCGGCCCAGGGCAUGACAGAUUAAGAUGGUAUCAGAGCCAGUUCACCAGCCGAAAAUAUGUGGCGAGUCUCGGCUGAGUCAGGGUCUGAAAGACAAGGGGAUAGGCUAUGCUAGAGUCUGAAUGACAAGGCGACUGGGUAUGCCAGGGUUUGGAUGACAAGGCUAGCGAGACGAGUCUCACAUCGUCUGGUGAUCUUGGGCUGUGUGUGUGAUUGGACUGAUGAGGACAUCAGGGCCUUAACGGGGGAAGUCUGUCACACCCCAAUAAUCCCACAUCGGAUAUGAAUGGGGAUGUGAUUGGGUAUAUAAAAAACUUAGACACUAGUAAUAAUAACUGGGCUUAAGCAUUUUGGGCCGGUGUUUGGGCCCAAAGAGUUAUUAUUGCUAGUGGGCUGGGUUGUUAAUCGACUCUUAAAGAGGGGACUAUUAUUUCAUGGGCAAAACCUCCUCGUGAUCGUGGACCAAUCGAAAGGGCGUGACCCCUGUCGCUGUCUUGACGCUUGUUUGGCAUGUCGACAUUACCUCCGAGAGUUUCUCAUUCUACUUUUUCGGAUUUUAAAUGUGCCACUUCAUCAGAUUUAUAAUAACCUUAUUUAUCUCUUCGGCCUGUCCAUUGGCCUUUAUCUCUCCGGCCUGUCCAUUGGCCUCUGCGUAAUAAAGUGACAAGUGAAGCAGCUUGAUCUGUCCCGACUCCAAGAAUCUUGAGAACUAUUCCCUUGUCAGUUUUGAUCAUUUUAGGAAUCUCGAAACUAUGGAUAAUGGAGUCUUCCACGAAUUCUAUAACAUCCUUUUUAGUGUCCAUUCUCGUAGGUUUUACUUUUACCCACUUGGUGAAAUAAUCCAUGGCCACUAUUUGGAACUUGUGUGCAAUCGAGGAGUUCGGCUCCAAUGAGAUCCAUAGCCUAACCACGGAAUGACCAAGGCUUGAUAAUUGUGUACAUCUUAGAGGUCGGUACUCUUCCCACCGGGCUAUGGAAUUGGCACUCCUGACAUCCUUUGGCAUAUCUUAUGUAGUCUUUGUGCAUAGUCAGCCACUAGUAUCCCUAGUGCCGAAUUGUGCACCUCAAUCCUUUUUCGGUGAAGUGUGCCCUACAAAUCCUUCAUGGAUUUCACCCAUGACUAUCAAAGCUUCAUUAGCUCCUAAACAUUUCAGGAGUACUUCUUUGGCCGUUCUUCUAUAAAGCUAUCCGUUUAGUAGACAAAUAGCCAAACACUUUUUUUGUAGCGGGUAACUACCUUGUCUACUCGGAUUAUUGAGAAACUCAACUAGAGGUGUUUUCCAAUCAUUCUGCACCCCGACAGAGGCGAUCAUCAUUGGUUCUCGUGUAUGAACCGAUGGUAGCAGUCCUUUUCCCACCUUGACUUGGCUCAUUUCUCUCAACUCCUUAUAUCCUAAAGCUAACUGAGCCAACUCAUUCAGUUUCUUAUUUUCUUCUCUUGAUAGGUGUGCGAAUUCUACUUUUCCGAAUCUGCUAAGUAGUUUCACUGUUUUAUUCAAGUAGUUUUGUAGAUUAUGGCUUUCACAUCGGUAUUUUUUGAUCACUUGUUUGAUCACUAACUGCGAGUCACCGAUGACCACUACAGAUCGUACUCUUAAUUCCUCUAGAAUCUCGAGGCCAAUUAUUAGUCUCAUAUUUGGCUUGAUUAUUUGAGCAAUCAAAAUUUAGCUCGAAGGAAAAUUGAAAAGUUUUGCCCUCGGGUAAUCGUAUGACUAUUCCAGCCUCUGCUGAGUCGGCUAUCCUGGACUUGUCAAAAUAAAGCGUCUACUGUCAGAAACUAAUUAGGUUUUGCCUGCGCUCUUCAACUUCGACGCAUGGAUGACUGGCCAGAAAGUCGACUAUCGCUUGACCUUUAACGACCCUUGCUAGAAAGUAGUUGAGAGAGAACUUGGACCAGGCUAACAUCCAGCGUCCUAUUCUUUCUCUUAAUACUAAUUUUGACAACAUGUAUUUUAUAAUGUUGGUUUUGCAAACAACCGAUACUUCGACAAGUAGAAUAUAAUAUCUUAGCUUGGUACAUGCAUAAUACAACGCCAGACAUAGUUUUUUCAUUAUCGAAUAGCACUGUUUGGCAUCCAGCAGGUGUCGGCUGAGAUAAUAAAUUGCGUGCGCCUCUUUCAAACCAUUAUCUUGGGCUAAUAGGCAUCCCAAAUUUGCUUAUGCAGCCGAGAUGUACAAUUUCAUCGGCUGUCCAUACUCAGACGAAUAAGUAUUGGAGGGCUGAUGAAGUAUUUUUUAAUACUCUCGAGCGCCUCUUGGAGUUCGUUUGUCUAUAAGAACUCCUAAUUUUUCAGCCGAAGCAAUAGAGUGAACACUCCUAUUCUGUCGGCUAGAUUUGAUAUAAAUCAUCUAAACUAAUUUAUUUUUUCCAGUAGACUUUGUAGAUCCUUUUUUACUUUUUAAUCGCCUUUGUCUUAUUUUUAUCUAUCUCGAUUUCUUUUUGAUAGGUCCAGAAACUAAGAAAAUUUUCAGCCGAUAUUCUGAACGCGCAUUUCAGAGAGUUCAUUUUUAAGUUGUACUUCGUCAUGUGUUUAAAGGCUAAUUCUAAAUCGGCCUAAUGAUCGGUCUGAGACUUGAAUUUUACAACUAUAUCAUCAAUAUAAACUUUCAACAUUUUAUCGAUUAGAUCAUGAAAGAUAAAAUUCGUUGCCCACUGGUAAGUAGCUCUGGCAUUCUUUAAACCGAAAAGCAUCACUACGCACUCGAAAGUCCCGAUAGAUCCGGGGUAUCUGAAAGCUGUUUUCGCUAUAUCUUCUUCAGCAAUAAAAAUCUAAUUGUAGCCAGCAUGACCGUUCAUAAAGGACAUGAUUUCAUGUCUGGCUAAAGCAUCCACUAGGAUGUCAGCUAUGGGCAUUAGGUAUUCAUCUUUGGGAGUAGCUGUAUUCAAAUUCCUAAAGUAAAUGCAAACUCUAAGUUUGCCAUUUUUUCUUUCGCACUAGAAUAUGUUCGAUACCUAGACGAUAUAACGAGCGCUCUAAUAAAUCCGACUCUUAAAAGAUUUUCGAUUUCAUUUUUUAUUUGCAUUACAAUACUUGGCUUGAAUCUACAAGUUGGCUAUUUAUCAGGCUUGUAUCCCUUCUUUAUGGGGAGCCAAUGUUCUGCAAUUUUUCGGCUUAGUCCUGAUAUUUUCUAAUAGCUCUAGGUGAAACAAUCUUUGCAUUUUCUUAACAACUCGGUUAGCUUCUCCUGUUGUUGUGUUGAAAGUCUUGUGCUAAUGAAGGUCAGCCAUUUGUUGCCGUCCAACCCUAGAUUCACUUCAAUCAGCAGAUCUUGGGUUUCUAACCUCUUCUCACUGACCUUAAUCAGUGAUUCUUCUGCGAAGUUAGUUUUGGUUUGGAUUCCUGAGUCCGAUUUUCGUUUUUCACCUAGCUCGUCGGCCUUGUCAGCCAAUGCUAUUACUUCGUUAGCCAUGUCUUUCUUGGCCUCGGUAGCAAGGACUUAAGUGUCGUACCACAGGGUUGUGCCGGAAACUUGCCGGCAUAGUAUGGCGCAGUGCGUGCCGGGCUGUGCUGAUGAGUGUUGGUCAGAAAAAAAUUACGUGUGUAGACAUGUAAUGGCAUGAAUAGAGGGUUUUUAGUUGUGCCAUCGGCUCAGGGACUGUAUCAUGUCGAUAUCUUGCUGUCACGAUACGGCAUGAUGGAUACGGCCCCUACCGCUAGGCACUUGUGUCACGCCCCGUGACCGCCAAUUCAGUCGGUUCGGGUACGUCAACGGACAGAGCCUCCCCUGCUCGCUCAAGGCUAACAACAACGAGAUCAUAUAUGUAAACAGUUGCCCAGAAAACAUUAACCUCAUACAUGAACUAAGCAAGUACUAAUACAAGCAAUCAACAAAAGAGAGAAAGAUCUAGCUAUUACAAGUCCAUUCAACAUAUACAUCGAGUUUACUUUUUUCAUCUCCAAAAUGUAUACAUGUUCAUCAACAACUCUCCAAAAUACAUAUACAUCAUGUCCUCGCAUCUAUACAGGGUGUACUAAUGCAUAAAGGAAAGCUGUUAGCUAACUAGGGUGCUAUGCCCUUACCGCCGUCCUCGCCCGGUCCGCUCGAACUCGGCCCUGCAACAAAGUGGGGUGAGAACUAUAUAAAUAUAGUUUCCAGUGGGUUCGGCCGCCGACUCCGCCGAUCUUCCCACUAGCUCUAAGCAGGCAUAAGUAGAUAGAUAGAUAGAUAUGAAAAUGAGCUGCUACAUAGUAACGAAACCUACAACAUGCUAUUAUGCCUCAAUAAAUAGAAAAAAUGCAUGAACAUAGUAAUGUACACUACUAACAUGGUACUAUGUCUCAAUCUGCAGGAUAUAUAGGAAAUGUCUACAUAGUAAUAAAAUCUACUAUCAAGUACUAUGUCUGAUAUCCAAUCUCAUCUCGGCUAACCCGAAGGUUAUGCCGAAACUCACAUCUCAAAUCUCGCCGGUGGGUAGACUCUGCGCUACACUCAUCCGAGACCAUCUGCUGGGUAAUCAAGUUACCCAAACGCGACGACGACUCCGGAGCUCAGUACUUGAGGUGGAGCGACUACGCCAAGGUUACAUAGACUAUGUGAGUACGAUUCAAUCCUCUCACUCGAGGAUAGUUAGUGCUUCUGCUGCACUAGUUCACAAGCUACUACUUAGGAAAUCAUUAUCUAUUCCAAAGUUCAUGUCAUAGUGUCUCUACUACACUAGUCCAAAUGCCACUCUUUGGUUCACAUGCUACUACUCAGGAAAUCAUCAUCUAUUCGUAAAUUCAUGUCAUAGUGUCUCUACUACACUAGUCCAAAUGCCACUAUUCGGUUCAUAUACAUGUCCAAGUUCAUCUUUUGUUCUUUGGCACUAUAGGAUUCCAUGUCAAGACCCAAUCCUCAUGUGUCCACUAAAUCAAAUGCUCAACUCACUAUAUGAUUUCUGCUAUGAAAACAUCCAAGGAAUUGAAGUGCAACUACUUAACAUAACCUAUAAUGCAUGAUAACAAUAUAUAUGAACAUAUGCUAUAAUAAAAUAACUCGGACAUAGAAGGUAGUUCAACUGCUUCGGGAUGGACACCCCCCACCUUCUGGUGAUGCCACGAAGCUAGAUUCCAACUUUCAUAAUUUUUCGCCGCCUAUCUCUCUCGACUGCGGCAAACGAAGCCAAAAACAGGCUUUCCUUUAGUAUCUUCGGGCAGACUCGUCGGAUCGCCGAACCGAGUUCACCAACACGUUCGAUUACCUAGCAAAUAGGUAUAAAAGAGAUCAAUCCCAAACUUUGGAUCUCAAUUUAACAAAACCCUCUUUCGGAACCCUAGAUGUUCUAUAUUGCAAGAAUACGCCAUAAGAACCAUCAAUUCAAGCAAAUAACAUCUACUUAGUAUCCAAGGGUUCUACCAAAACUAAUUCUAGAGUUUAAAACUCAAACCCUAGAAAUCUACCAUUAAAGCUCCAAGAGCUUACCCCUCCACAACUCCUCCAAGCCAAGGAAGAAGAUGAAGAAAACAAAAAUCUAUUUCCUUGCUUCAAUCUCCACCAAUCCCUUCUCUUAGAUCCGCCCUUGAGAGAGCUUCUAGAGAGAGAAAGAAAGAAAAAUGAUAAGGAGUGUGUUUUCUGGCUGUGAACAUAAGAGAGGGAGAUGGGGUCCAUUUAUAGGCUGCCACAAUUGCAAUAAAACCCCUCAACAAUUGCUAUUUGCAGCAUACUGCAAUCUGCAGUUUUCUGCACUUGGUACCGGUAUGCGUGACUUUUGUCAUCGGUUCACCAAUUACGCAACAGCUAAACCCGAGAGCUGCUUUCUCGGGUAGCUGAUCUGGUACCGGUACGCACCAGGGGUGUCAUCGGUUUAACAACCUAAAAUACUCAAACCCGAGAGCUGCUACUCUCGGUCUGCUAUGGGCUAUCGGUACCACCCUGAUGUUUAACCGGUUACAAAAUGUCCAACUGCAGUUUAGCACUUGUUCGACUUCUACUUCGCGCCGAGCAAUACUAAAACUCAAUUAUCUCUUUUAGAACUCAACUUUGACCCUUCCAACAUUAUUGGAAUGUCACAUGGACCAUGUCCAAGCAUCUCUCUCGCCACACUUUGGUCACUUUGACCAAAAGUGGUCUAUUACGAUGGGGAUUCAAUAUCUUAGAACUUGAAUCCUUGCUCAAUGGUUAAAUCUCCUAUAGUAAUCCCUUCUUUGUACUAUUGGUCCAUCGAGCCGAAUCAUUUCUUUCUUUAUCGAUUUUCUGAGCUGAAUCAUUUCUUUCAUUAUCGGCCUUCUGAGCCGAAUUGUUCUUCUUACAAUCAGCCCUUGAGCCACAUAAUUAGCAUUGGAUUUUUUUCAUCGGCCCUUUGGCUUAUCUAUUGGAAUAGCCGACUUCUUUGGUUGGCGUGCCAUACUGAACCUCGUGUAGAGUCUCGACUCUUGACUCCGAAUAUUCUAUUUUAACCAAACCGGCGGCUCUUCAGUAGUCGCCAGUGUCUCUGCCUCCGUCAAAAGUACCAGUUGCACUCCUUCUUCGGUGAUCCGGACGAAUGAGAUCUAGUUUGGGUCCGUGUCAGCCCAAUUUACAUGACCAAUGUCUUCUAUAUUCACGUCUACCAUCUGCAACCUCCCUUCGGCUGCUAUUUCUUCAACAUGUUCCCCAACCCACUGAAAUAACUUUUCGUGCUAGGUCAAAGAUACAUGUUCAUUGGCCUGGAUCCAAUCACACCCUAGUAGCAGAUUGUAGUGGCUACUGGCGUCCACUAUAAAGAAAGCGGUCCGAUGGUCUUGUAUUCAACCAUCAAAUCGGUUGUUAGUACCUCUCGCGCUUGCUGACCGCUUCCUGUAAAGUCGGUGUCGCGUCCCGACACCGCCAAUUAGGAUAGUCUAGGCUCACAAUAGACCCGCCGAAUGGACAUAGUCUCCCAUAUCCAUCCAAGGCGUAGCAAAGUCUGUGCAUCCUUUUCCAAUUAGAAAAGAUCAAUACUACACAUUUUACAUGAGGGCAAAUCAAGAGAACAAGAGAAUUUAAACUAUCUAUUACAUUGUUCGAACAAUCAUAAUUUGGGACUUUUACAAAAUACAUCCAUCCAAUUGUAUUACAACCUCGUCCUUUAUUUUAAAAACUUUUACUAUAAUUACAUCGUAUUGGCCAAAAUGUCAAAAUAUAUCUUAUGCCACGCGUAGGGAUAGAGAUCUAGCCUCAGUGGUCCAACUAUCUAGGGCGCAACACCUUUAUCAUGAUCCUCAAUGAAUCCACUUGUGCUCGGCUCUGCAAAAUAGUAGGAUGAGAACUAAAAGAAUUUUCUAGCGGGUUCGGCCACCGAUGUUGCUGAUUUUCCUACUAGGUCUAAUAAGGCAUAAAGAUAUAGAAUAAAAGUAAGCGAUAUACAAAUCUACUUUCACUCAAGGUACAUCAUGCAAUCAAUGCUAACCGCUAUGCCUUUACAACAUCAAAAUGAUCAAGUUCUCACUACAUGCAAUAUGUAUGAAAUACCAAAUGCUUAACAAUAACCUGUUUCUUUACUUUAACCCAAUUGCACCGGCUGACCCAUAGGUUGAGCCACAACUUACAUCACCAAAUCACGUGGGGAGGUGGUCUUUCACUCCCGAGCCACCACCAUGACCGUCUGUCGGGGAGGCACCGUCGUGACCCUACCACGCAUUUUUAUGACACUCCGAAGCUCACGGCUUGGGAGUCGUGCUCUCCACGAGCCAAAUACAGACUAUGUGAGUAUGAUCCCAUCCACCAAUCCCAUGGACCUACCACCUACCAGUGGGAACAACAUCCGAGGAUUCCACUAAAUCCCAAAUCGUCCUCCUACCAUGCAAUGCUCAAUAAUAAUGAGGCACAAAAUGUCAUGCUAUAAAGCAACGACCCAAUAUCACUUCGGUGCCCAAAGUUCAACAACUCAUGCCACUAGGUUUAAGCUCUAUGAUUCUCAUGGCUCCUAGUGUUUCACAAUUUAUCUAAGUCCACAAUGAGUUUACAUUUAUUUCUAGGGUUCUCAUGGCAAUGUUUAUUUCUCAUGCAUACAUUAUUUUGUCACAUAAUCAUAAGCUCUAAUUAAUAUUCCAAAGGAUGCCACCGCUAACCCAAGUUAUAUAGUUCCAAUACAAUAUAAUACAUGGUAAAAAAUAGUGACUUAGAUAUAGGUGAAAAUCCGGCUAUUUCGAUAGCACCACCCACCUCGCGUCGACGUCUAGAAGUGAGAGAACCACGCCUCGCGAUUUAUUAUCACCGAUUUGGCUUGACCCAAGGCUAAUAAAUGAAAAUCGACAAUUUCUUUCAAUUGGAUACUGUAGGCUCGUCAAAAUCCCAAUUCGAGUUGUCUCCUACUUUGAUUUACCCUUUAAUUAAGAAAACAAGAGAUCAAUUUCACUAAAAACCCUAUUUCCACAAACCCCCAAUGUUUACCCUAGGGUUUACACCAUCUCUGAUGAACACCCAAAAAUCUCUUGGGGUUUCAUGUUCAUCCUAAUCUAGGACCUCAUAGGGGUUCCUAAAACAUCAACAAAAAGGAACCUAAUCAACCCUAACUCAAAAUCUCAAAGCCUCACCUUAAGGUUCUCUUGCUAUAAAACUCCUCCUUGCGCUAGGCUUGCUCCAUGCUCCUCAAGCCUCUUGGUAAGUCAAAUCCCCUCCAAUCCCUUGGUUAGAAAGAACUCUAGAGAUAGAAAGUGAGAGAAAUAGGGUGGUGUGAGUGUAAUAGAGAAAAGGGAUCCUCUAAUUUCAAUAUUUGCACCCAACCAGAUUCCACACUUCGGGGCAUUAAGUACCAGUACUCGAAUGGGUGUAUCGGUACUCGGACACCUAGUUUCGAUACUCAGGGUCCAGUCCUGCAGAAUCCAUACGUUGGUUUUUUGGACACAAUACAGAAUUCUGAUACCCUAUUUUGGUACGAAAACUUAGGGUGACAAUCAGUAGCUUUUGCAGAUUUCAGAUCUUGGAGCUGAUUUUCGCAUCCGAUUUACGUCGAAUACACUUGUACACCCUCAGAACAAUCUCCCAAAUCAUCCAAAUGUCCUCUCAGGCCAAUUUACACUAGGACUCCCUAAUUUGGAGAAGUCCAGUACACUACAGUCGAUCAUAGUCAAGUCCGUGGGUUUGAAUUAAUCUUCGCUCUUACUUAGUUUCUUAAAAAACGAUGCGGGCAUGAUAUUGACUAUGGCCCUAUCGUCGAUCAUCACUCGACCAAUAGGCCAUCAUUCUAUCAAAGCGCUGAAAUACAAGGGUCGGACAAAUCUAGUCUGCUAUCGAUGGCUUUUCGAACACCACUAUAUCGGCCGCUUUAAUAUUUUCAAGUUGAAGCUGGGCCACUGCCAGCUCCUCUCUAUGUUGAGGUUGCUCCUUAAACUCCGCUGACAUUGCUUUGAAUGAUUACGGCAUAGCAUACACCAUAUUUACAUCUGUCGAACUCUCUUUUGCUGGGGCUUCUUGAGUUUUCUAUUUUUUCUCUUUAGAUUCUUUUGUAAUUUUGGCCAAAGAAUCACUCUUUGGUCAAAUAUCUCUUUCCUUCGGUGGCCACCUCUCUAGUUUAAUGAAGGUUAGAGAAGCAAUCUUCUUUUCUAGUUCUUUGCGAGUGACCUUUUUCGUCGGCUUUGCUGUGGCUGACUGAUUUAUUUUGGAUUUCAACCAUAGUACAGGGUUUGAACCGCCCGCUUUAUUAUCAUGCUUCAUGGGCUGAUAGAGCGGUUGCUGCACAGGUCGUCUCCAAGUGUUCGGUCUUAUCCAUUUUGCUUCUUCCCAGUGAUUUCUCACUUCGGCUUGCAUUCUUUGUUGCCGCAGCUUUUAUGUCUUUGUUAGCACCGGCCCAUGCUAUCGGCCGACACCAUUGCCGCAAACCAUUGCUUGGUCGGCACGUUUGUAGGUACCUUCACUAUCAUGAGGUGUUCUCUCAAGAUCUCUCUCAUUUUCCAUAGUCUCAGCCAUGGCUGGAUGCCGAGCUCAUUCACCAAUUUUCGACCGAGAAAUUCUAUAUCCCUCUCGGUCAUUCCUUCAAAUUCCAGUUCGAGUCUCGGCCUUGGCUGCUGGUGCCAUACGGCUUGAUAUCCCGUGUGCCUUUGUUGAGUGGUGAAGGGUUGUCUUGGAUAGUCCCCUCAGGAUGUCUUUUCUUUAGUCUGGUAGUACUCGUCUAGGACCUUCUGAAUCGGUGGGUCUUUUGCAUCCUUGGUGGAGUUCACUUCUUCCUCAGAGUUGUUGGAAGCCUCCUCCAAGCAUUCUUCAGAGUGGCCGACAGCAUCGGGUGUCUCCCAGUCCUGGGGAAAAGCCAUGAACUGGUUCCAUUUACCGUAUGCCUUUUUCUCACGUAUGAUGGCUUCUCAGUUCUGACACGUCAUUUCGGCUUUGCAUCUGAUGCAAAGUCGAAGUAGUCCUCACGUCGUGGACACAUCUGCUUCAAAUUUCUCCUCAUAGAGUGGCUUUCUUUCCUUUGAUAUCCGCCAUGUUUACCUGCGAGGAAUAAGGAUUUUGGUCAACUUCCAUAUUACUUUUAUUUUUUUGGUCGGCAAUUAAACACCAGCCGAUCCUCAUUCAACUCUUUUUAAAUCAGGCUUUUAAAGGCUGUGCAAUUAUUAGUUAUGUGGCUCCAUGAAUAGUGCCAUUUGUAAUAUUUUCUUUUCUUUAAUUCCUCUCCUAAAGGUAACAUCUAACCUUCUUAGAGUUUAAUUCUUCCAUCUUUAUAUAAUUGAUCGAAUAUUUGAUCGGUCUUAGCGACGUUGAGCAAAUAGGUGUAUGCCGCCAUUCGUGCUCUUGUUUUGGUAGCCUUUGCUGGCCUGAUCAGCAGCGCACAUUUCUAUGGCUGACGGUUUUUCACAAUUUCAACUGCAUAUUCUUGGCCUCAUCAGCCGAGUCUUCUAUUGUAAGGUAUUAGAAUCAUCUUGAGUUGAUCCUUCUUCAAUGAAAGAGAUUUUUUUUUUUUCUUUUCCUUUCCUCCAUUCCUUGUUUUAGCUCCAACAUUGCCGAUCCUCACCGUUUUCUUUCGUGAAUUGUUCAAAUUGGGCAACCCGAAUGCUCAAAUUGAACAAAUAUAAAAAAAUAUUUAUCUUUGAAAUGGUCUUUUAUUUUGAAAUGCAGACUAUUGAGCGCCAUUUUGGCAAAUUCUGAUUCCGGUAUUUUUAUGAAACAACUGGUUCCUAUAUGUUUUGAAACUGUUCAAAUAUUCCUCAACUGUUUCCCUCGACUUUUGUCGGUAUAGGUCUAGAUCGGAUAUCGACAAUUCCAGUUCCGACCUAUAGAAUUGUUCAUGAAACUUUCUUUCUAAUUCGUCUCAUUCUCGGACGAAAUUGGUAGGUAAACUCGUAUACUAGGUGAACACCAUUUUAGUUAAUGAGUGUUGAAUAAUCGAAGUUUAAAAAACGGAUCUGCUGGCGCUUCUCUACACUGUGCCAUAAAUCGAGCGACUUGUUCCAUAGUAUUCUCGGUCUCAUCUCUCGAGAAUUUAUCAAACUUUGACAUUUUUCAGUUUGGCAGAUACGGAUAUUUCGUAUCAACGUUUGCAGGAUAUAGGGAUCUAAAUACGGGCCGUAUUGUUGGCCUUGCCCCUACACCAAAUGUAUUUCGGAUCGCCCCUUUAUCUAAACAUAUUGCUCAUUGUUCUCUAUUGCUGGAGCAGGAACCAGGGCCGGAGCCACAUUUGGCCUUGGGGAGGGGGGGGUCCUUAGUUUUGCAUUGCGGGAUUGAGUCCCUGCAAUAUGUUGGGUCCCUGCCUCUAGUGGGGCCUUGCCCCUUAGCCUUCAUACUCACGUUUUGGGGCUGAUAGGCUGACAAAGGAGACAGGGGAGGUAAGCCCCAUGCAAUAUCUGGCUGCGGACCGACGUUUAUAUUCGCCGGUCUAUAGGCAGCCUAGAAAGGCGUCAUUUUUUGUUGUGCUUGUGUGACCACUGGCGUAAGAGGAUUUUGGGCUGCCGGCGUAGUUAGGGGUCCUUGCGGACCUCCGUAAGUUUUCUCGUUUUGGGCUAGUAGUUGCCUGAUUCGAGUAAUGUUUUCAUUGGUAAUGGCCAGUACUGCGUACAUUUGAGUGAUACUUCGAUAGCUAUUUUGAUCUAAAGUUUGCAGAAUUCGAGUCAUUUGGCCGAGUAACUGAGUCAAUUCGGCUCCUGAUGAGCCGAGUGUCCUCUAUUCCACCUCAUAUUAGUAACACCGUUUAAUGCUCGUUCACAUUUUCGGCGCCAUUGGCUUGGUUAUUCCUUGAAAACCUAGGAAUUACUCUGUUUCGGAGGUUCAUAGCAUUAUCAUCAGCCAUAAGAUAAAGAUUAAACGAGGAUUUACCUAAGGGCGUUCUACCGAGUGUGCCAAAAAUUGCUGCAAGCCGAAUUUAGGGAUCGUUGACCCGAUCAAAACUCUCUUUUGGGAAGCGAGCCGGGAGAGGGGUUGGCUCUUGAUGAUGACCCUCGAAUGCGCCCAAAACAGAAUCAAGCGAUCUGCUGAGGAGGGAUCAGCUCUGCUAAGUUCGAACACUCGAAUAUAUUACUUGACUCGGUUGAACGAGCUGAGUGACUUCAAUAUAUUUCAAAAGAAUAGAGAUGUAUCGAGAGAUAUGUCUUACCGCUAAUAUAAUUAACAAGGAAGCCUAUCUUAACAGACUACUCCUAGGAAAGUGACAAGAGUGAAAAAUAAAAGAAAUUGAAAUUGUAAGUCUCUUGUACACAAAAAGACUUUUUGUACAGGCGAGUUUUGUUUAUUUAUAAUUCUGCCUGCGGUUAUUUAAUUAAUCCUUGUCAUAGGGGUGAAUUUUGGCCACGUCCAUUUUUUCUCGGAUUUCGCUGUGGCUGUUUCUUCCCAUGUCUUUGGUUUCACCUAAAACUGCUUUCUCGUUUCAGGUGCACCUCUCUCAACUCUAGGUGUACCACGUCCUCCACAUGGUUUAGCCUUUCCUUCCACGUGGUGCCAUUUUUGUGCCACCAACAAAUCCAAAAUUCUUCGAGAUCUAUUGCUAUAAAUAUGUGUGCCAAUGAUAUAAGAAGCUUCACCUAUAUCUUUCAUCUCAAAAUUUUUAAAAGAAAAUUUUUGGUCUCCUUAAGCAAACCAAAUCACUACUUGCAAGCAGAAUAUCAUUUACAUACAAGAUUAAGAAAAUAUAUUUAUUUCCACUAACUUUAAGAUAUAUGUAUCAAUCCACGAUAUUUUUUAUGAAACUGAAUGUAAUAAUUACAUCAUGAGACUUGAUGUACCAUUGGCGGGAGGCUUGUUUGAGUCCGUGUAAGGACUUUUUUAGUCUGCAAAAAAGAUAAUUGUUUUAUUUAAAAAACUCUUCUUUUUCAUGGAUGAGUUAUGAAAGUCAUAAUAAUUUUUAAUAAAUCCUUCUUAAACGCCGGAGAAAAAAAUUUAUGUUAAUCAAUUAAUAUCUUUCUUAACGGUAAUUAAAAUAUUACUUGGCCAUUUAGACCACAGUCAUAGUCUUGUAAUUUUUGGUAAAUUUUAAUACUUAUUUUUUCAAGUUUUUAGGGAAAUUGAGAUGGUGACAAUAUAUGCUCCAAACACUACAACAGAAUUAGGUUAUAGUGACACAUUUUUGGAACACUUUUGUAUAAGUGUCUUAUAUAUUUAUGCCAAAAUUUUUUAAAAAAUCUACUAAAGCCUAAAUAUAAAGCCUAAUUCAACCAAAAAUAAAAGAUUACUCUACUCAACCCACCCCACCCAGUCUAUUCGGCCCGAUUACAAAAAGAAAAGGAAAAAAAAAAGGAAAAUCGAUCACCAUCAUCCCUUCUCCCCUCACUCAAUCCAUUGAAACUCUAGAUAAAGAGCCCCUCGCUGUCCUCCUCCUUUGCGCCGCAGCCGACGAGGUAGCCAUCGAGGGGUGGUAUAGCCAUCCAUGUCGUCAAGUACUCCGGAGUGUCGGGCUAUCAGGACAGAGUUGAUAUCCGCAGACAAUCCCGGGUUUGAGAACGAGUUGAGUCUCCUUACCCAAAGGGAUGAGGAUGUGAGUUGAGGGCGACCUCAAGGGAUUCGCCAUGGAUUGGGUAAAUAAAAGAAUAAACCGUCAUUGAACAUGGUUGAAUUGGACAUAGUAGCAUGAUAGUAAACCUUUACUAAAUGAUGCAUGCAUUCAUAUCUCUGAUUAUAGGCAUAGUACCAUAGCUUUCCUAUUAUGUCAUUUACUGUUUUAGAUAUAUAUCUAUCUAUCUAUCUGUUGUUACUUUGCCCACUUGGACCUAGUGGGGAGAUCGGCGGAGUCGGCGGCCGAGCCCACUGGGAACUAUCGAAGAUAGUUCUCACCCCACUUCACUGCAGGGCCGAGUGUAGGCGCGCCGGGCGAGGAUCGCGGCAAAGGCAUUGCGCCCGAGCAGUAGUAUAGUAGCUUCUUUUAUGCAUUAGAGUACCACUUUGUAUCUAGAUGCUUUAUAUUUUUGGAAGAGCUAAUGAUGUAAUUGAGAUGAACAUGUAUUCAUUUUGGGAAAGAUGUAAUUAUAAAAAAGAAUGUAAAUGAAAAUGAAAAGAGCGCUAUGUGAUGUAAUAGCUAGUAGAUCUCUCUUUAUUUCACUUGUAUUACUUGUGAAUUACUUGCUCUUGUUUGUUGGCACUGGUUGUGCCCGUUGAUUGUGUAUGUAUUGAAUUUAACAUUCUGGGUGAAUUCUUGUAUACAAUCUCGUUGUUGAGCCUUGGGCGGGCAGGGGAGGUGCUGUCCAUCCGGCGUCUGUUCGACUCGCCCGGACCGGACCAAAUUGGUUGCGGUCUCGGGGUGUGACACUCGCUCUCCUCCUCCUUUGCGCCGCAGCCGAUGACGUAGGAUUCCCACGGUUGCUAAAUGUUUAAAUAAGUAUUGAUAAAUUAGCAGUAUUUUUUUUAGGUUAUAGCGAUACUCUUAAACUGUCACUAUAUGCCUAGCGACUCCACAUAUAGCAAUAUUUUUUAAAAAUAUUGGUAAUUUAGCUAGCAGCACUUAUUUUGAACUGUACCGAUAUUUAAAAGUGUCGCUAUAUAUUAUUUUUAUUGUAGUGAAGUAAUUAGAAAUGUGAAGGAAUGUUACCGAGGGACGUUAGAUUGGGCUUUUGAUGCAAUGCACAUGCCAUGGGAGAAGUGCAUUAUUUAAUCCAAUACAAUAAACCUACAAAACUUUAUGCUCAAAAAAGUUAGAAUUAUUACAUCGACCGACCAACAACGUGCAAUCACUCUCACUAUCAGGUAACGUAAUUGCUCAUGCGAUCAUGUGACUUUUAACCAAUUGAAUAAUGGGUGACUCGGAUCCAUGAAAAGGUACGAAAUAUUAUUUAAAAAUUAUUACCUGCACUCUACAAAGUGAAAAACCUUUUCUUCAAUUCCAAGACAAGUUUCAACUUAAAUAACAAUUGACCUCUGUGGUUUUGGUAUUUAAUUGAUGUGGCUAGGAUAGGUAUUAAUUAGUUGACUAUAAUCGUACCAUGUACAUAGUUAAGAAUUGACCAAAAAAGUUUGUGGGCAAUCUUUUAAAGUCGCUAAGCAAUGUGUGAAAUAAUUAAUUGGAAUCCCAAGGGGUCAUAGAUUACAGUAGUUGAAAAUAUAUAUAUUUCUCCGUUAUUAUUGGUACAUUUUAUUAAAAGCAUUAUUAGGAGAAACUUACGAAAGGCCAAUGUGGUCUAUUAAUUAUGCGUAAUUCAAUGUAUUUUAUAUUGGUGGAAAAUAUGAAGUGUAAAACAAGGAAUAAAAAGUGCUAUAUUUCAUAAACUAUAUAUGAGAAAUACUUUAUAAUAUGAGAUGUUUUUACUACCUUUGUAACAGGUAGUCCUUAUUACUGAGAACUAAAGUUGAAACCAAGCAAGGCAGUAUAAAACUUGAGGCCAUAUUUGAUAGAGAGAUAUUCCAGAACAAGAGGGAUAUCUUUUAGUUUGUAUCCAAACAGUACAAUAAUUAAGUAGAACAAAUUGUUCCGAUCAAAACAGGAUGUGUUCUGAAAAAAUCUGUUAAAAUUGUUUCUAAGCAAACUAAGAACAACUUUGUUCUUUUCUUUACUUUAUUAGAUAAAUAAAUAUAUAAAUAAAUAUAUUAAUAUAAAUACUAUCUUUAUGGUAAUAUAUUUAUACUUAAAUCUUAUUAAUUAUAUAAUUAAAUAAAAUUAAUUUGACAUAUUAUUUAUUUUAUUUUUUUUAUCAUUUAUAUAUUAAUACUUAAUUAUUUUAUUUUUUAUUAAGUAUUAUAUAUUAAAUUAUUUUUUCGUAUAUUAUAUAUUUUUUUUAAAUUUGUAUUGAAAUUUAUAGUGUUAUUAGUUAAAAUUAUAAGAAUAUUGCUAGUAUUAUAUUUUAUUCAUUACAUAUAUUAUGGAUAAAUUUAUGAAAUAAACUGUUGUAUAAAAUAAAUUAUUAUAUGAAAUAAAUAAAUAUAAGAUAUAAAUUAAAUUGUUUUAUAAAAUAAUUUAUAUAAAAUAUACUGAUAUAAAUGAAUUAUCUUAAUCUUUUAAAUAAAUGAAUUAUUUUAAUCUUUUAAAUAUAUUUAAAUAUUAUUUUAGACUUUUUAUCCAAAUACAACAAAAUUUAUAGUUGUUCUAGCUUAUACUGUGAUAUUUCCUACUCUUGAGAACAAUAAAAGUACCCCAAGAAUUUAGUUCUCAAAUAAAACGCAGUCUCAAAGCACAAGAUAGUCUCAACUACAUAUGCUGUAGCACUCAAUUGUGAGAGGGAAAAACAAUGAAAGGAAAAUCAAACCGAGCUCAUUUGUCCAAUUUGGACCAAUAGGGCUCUAAUAAACUAAGUUGUAACAAGGCCAAGCAGCUUGGCCAAGGUUCCAGGCAUAAGGGGGGUAGGAAGUGUAUCUGAACCAUCUUACUUGAGAGUAUUGGGCCAAGCCAAAGCCGUACUAGGUUGUUUGGGCUUGGGUUUGGUUAAAAGAUACAAAAUUUUUUUAUUAUUGGGCAUCUUUUAACAUCUUUUCUUUUUUAUUUACCCAAAAAGAUUUUAUUAUUUGGUAAAUGAGACAUAUAAUAAAAUAUCAGAGAAGUCAUACUAUAUUUAGUUUUUAAGUAAUUAUAUUGAAUAAAAUAAAUCAUCUUAUAGAUGGAAUAUAUUAUCCUACUAAAUCGUUGCUGCACAAAGUUUUUUUUGAGUUAAAUUCAAAUUUCUAACAUGCAAGCAUGAAAAAGAACAAAUCUGUUAGAUAUGACUCGAAAUCUAUUAUCGAAUCAGGUUUGGGUUUACGACUAGCCGACAGCUUCGCGGUGCGACCAAAUUAGAAAAUUAAAUUGUGAAGGGAAAAUGAAUGUCUACGGUGGGUAACGGAGGGCUUGGAUCCGAAACCCGUUAUGAAUUUUUUCUCUUCGUUUUUGCUUUAGAGGCGUGUGAUCAUGGUUGGUUGUAAUUGGAAGAAUAUUGUAUUCCCUUUCGUUUUGAUAGUGAAAUUCUCUCCUCCCUCGCCCGUUGUUUUUCCCUGUAAAGGAUUUUCCACGUAAAUCUGUGUGUUCUUUCAUUUCUGUUUGUGGUUUGAUUCUUUGUGUUCACCAUUUUUGUUUCCGUUUGUGCGUUUGUCGUAACAAACUGGUAUUAGAGCCCUAGGUUCAUCGAUUAGGGUUCUCUUCAUCAAUGGCGGCCAUGAAAUACGACCUCCCUUUACUCGACCACGGGACACGAUUUACGUUAUGGCAUCUGAAGAUGCGCGCAAUCCUGGCUCAGAUGGACCUAGAAGAUGCGCUGCUCGGGACGGAGAAGAUGCCUAUGUCCCUUAGUAUGGCGGAGAAGGAGAAGAUGAACCGAAAGGCCCUUACGCAGAUCCAACUUCACCUUUCAAAUGAGAUCUUACAACAUGCCAUCAAGGAGAAGAACGCUGCGAGCUUAUGGCUGAAAUUGGAGUCGUUAUGCAUGACAAAAAGUCUCACCAACAAACUCCACCUGAAGCAGAAGUUAUAUUCUUACCAUCUGACAGAAGGUAAGAGCAUUAAGACCCAUCUCGACGCAUUUAAAGAAAUUAUUACUGAUCUGGAGAUGAUAGAAGUUAAAUAUGAUGAUGAAGAUUUAGCGUUACUACUUUUAUGUUCUCUACCGUCUUCGUAUAGAAAUUUUAGAGAUACUAUGCUCUAUGGAUGUGAUACCAUCUCUUUGGAAGAUGUCUCAACUGCGCUCCUCUCGAAAGAGAGGAUCGAUAAGGAGAUGAGUGGUACCACUGAAAGUCAGGCAGAGGGUCUAUUUACCAGAGGAAGAUCCAGGCAAAGAAAUUAUAGUGACAGUAAAGAAAAGGCUAGAUCUAAAUCCAGGCAUAAGAAUUUGAUCUGUAAUUACUGUAAGAAGAAGGGCCACAUUAAGGCGGACUGUUUCAAAUUGAAAAGGAAGGAAUAGACCAAAGGAAAGAAUGAUCGAAAUGGAAAGGAUAGCUCGAAAUCUGCUGAAGCCAGUGUAGCAGAAGAUUAUAGUAGCGAUGGGAAUGUUCUGUUGGUCUGCGAUGAUAAAUCCAGAUCCAGCACAGAGUGGAUUCUAGAUUCUGGGUGCUCAUUCCACAUAUGUCCCAACAGGGAAUGGUUUUCCACUUUUGAAGCUGUUAAUGGUGGAGUUGUUUUGAUGGGGAAUGAUGCAUCCUGCAAAGUUGUUGGACGAGGAUCGGUGAACAUUAAGAUGUUUGACGGAAUAGUCAGAACGCUUACCGAUGUCAGAUAUGUUCCACAAUUAAAGAGAAAUUUAAUCUCUUUGAGUACCCUAGACGCUAAAGGAUACAAAUUCACUGGUGAAGAUGGAAUUCUGAAAGUCGUUAAAGGAGCUAUCGUUGUGAUGAAAUGUCGAAGGCAAGAAGGAAAACUGUACGUGCUGCAAGGUUCGACUGUGACAGGUGGAGCUGCGGUUUCCUCUUCAUCUAUGUCCGAUUCAGAUGUCAUAAAAUUAUGGCAUAUGAGGCUGGGACAUAUGAGCGAAAGAGGAUUGAUGGUGCUGAGCAAGCGAGGACUCCUUUGUGGCCAAAAUACAGGAAGUCUGGAAUUCUGCGAACACUACGUAUUUGGAAAGUAGAAAAGAGUCAGUUUUACGAAGGCAGUCCACAGAACCAAAGGAACUCUUGAUUACAUCCAUUCAGAUCUUUGGGGGCCAGCACCGGUGCCCUCUAAAGGUGGAGCGAGAUAUAUGUUGACCUUCAUAGAUGACUACUCCAGGAAUGUUUGGACAUUUUUCUAGUUGCAGAAAAGUGAUGUACUCAAGACCUUCAAGCAGUGGAAGAUUUUGAUUGAGAAGCAGACAGGAAAGCAAAUUAAGCGUCUUCGCACUGACAAUGGUUUGGAGUUUUGUUCAGGAGAAUUCAAUGAAUUCUGUAAAGAUGAAGGAAUCGAGAGACAUCGUACAGUUGCCUACACACCGCAGCAAAAUGGCGUGGCAGAACGUAUGAACAGAACGCUGAUCGAGAAGACAAGAUGUCUACUCUCAAAUGCAUGAUUUGGCGAGGAGUUCUGGGCAGAAGUUGCAUCUACAGCUUGAUAUUUGGUGAACCGGUCUCUAUCGACUUCCAUUGAUCUGAAAACUCCAAAAAAGGUAUGGUCUGGCCACUCUCCUAGUUAUUCUGAUUUAAGAAUUUUCGGAUGUCCUGUUUAUGCACAUGUUAGUCAAGGAAAACUGAAACCUAGAUCUAAAGAAUGCAAGUUUCUCGGUUAUGCUUCUAGUACUAAAGGUUUUCGUUUGUGGUGUCCUGAAGAUAAGAAAAUUAUUAUUAGUAGAGAUGUCAAGUUUAACAAAACUGCUAUGCUUCGCCGAAAGGAGGAGUCACGUGUUUCUUGUGAUACAGGUGCAGAUGCAGAUGGAUCGGAGAAAACUGUCGAGGUGGAGUUUCAAACUCAUUCUCAAAAUCAGAUCACUCCAGCACCAGGUACCACUUCGAUUCUGCUCCUACAAAACCACAGGCGCCACCACAGACAGACACAUAUUCGAUAGCCAGAGAUCGACCGA
RNAcentral lists this long non-coding RNA (56357 nucleotides) under Ananas comosus (pineapple). Its description in RNAcentral is "long non-coding RNA (ACOM_LNC018016)". Lineage: Eukaryota; Viridiplantae; Streptophyta; Magnoliopsida; Poales; Bromeliaceae. The record is from RNAcentral.